AGCAGCAGGGGUUCCAUCAUCCGUGGCAUCAUCGGAUGUUCCAGCGAUGAUUUCGGUAGGGCAAGCAAGAACGCUCAAUGGAAACGAACAGAGAGUGCCCGCUACUGUUUGGAGCUUUUUAAAGGAUGGUCAGGAACGAUAACCCAAAGAAAGCUUGCUCGUCAGGUGGUUUAUAUGGCACCACGCCAGAGCGGUCGGCGGGUUGUCCAGGGCGGUGCCUUGUGCCGCUGCUCGUCGGGGAAGCUCGACAUGGACUUGACGUCUCCUUAGACCAUACUCCAUUUCCACACAAUCCGCGCAGCAGAACUGUGAACCGAGGCAUGUGGGCGUGCGGGUGUGGCUGCCACUUUUACUCAACCUGAUCCGAUUCCUAGGCGCACUCUCCUCAGCUCAGCUCGGCACUGACUUGGAUGCCAUAUUCUGCAAGCAACUGCGGCCUGCGGGUAGGCUGGCCCUUCCCGUCAGGGCAAUGCUAGCUAAGCUGAGCUCAGGAAGCCUUGCUACGGCGCAUCACUUUUCUAACCUUAUUACCUUGCAUCAAAACUGUUCAUCUGUUACCAUCCGUCUUGGAAGAAUACGUUUUUUCUACAUGAGAAAAGAAAUCCAGUCGUGUUUAUAGUUGCUUCUGUUCACCUGACGUAACCACCCAGACACGAACUAGAACUACGGCCUUGUUUAGGCCUAACUCCCAACUUUGACACUAUAUAAAAAGAAGAUUCCCCAUCACAUCAAACUUGCGGUACAUGCAUGGAGUACUAAAUGUAGACGAAAUUAAAAACUAAUUGCACAGUUUUGUUGUACUUUGCGAGACGAAUCUUUUAAGCCUAAUUAGUCAAUAUUUGAACAAUAAUUCACAAGUACAAACGAAACGCUACAGUGUGCUACAGUGCUGGAACAGGAAUUUUGCAUCUCCCAAAUUGACCAACUAAACAAGGCCUUAGUUACCCUAAAAUCCUAACUUUGGCACUAUGCAAAAAGAAGAUUCCCCAUUACAUCAAACUUACGGUACAUGCAUGGAGUACUAAAUGUAGAUGAAAUCAAAAACUAAUUGCACAGUUUGGUUGUACUUUGCGAGACGAAUCUUUUGAGCCUAAUUAGUCAAUAUUUGGACAAUAAUUCACAAAUACAAACGAAACGCUACAGUAUGCUACAGUGCUGGCACAAUGAUUUAACGCUACAGUAUGCUACAGUGCUGGCACGAUGAUUUUGGUUGUCCAAAAUCGGGCAAGGCCUACUAUGCUUCGAUGUCGGCAAAGCCAGGUCAGUAAUCUUGCCAGACACAGAGUAUGACCACGACCACGUCCGACGUCCCUGAUUGAGGCGGGCAGGUUUCUUCCAGCACCGCGAAUGGUGGCGGCACGAGCUCGCGGCAGCCAAUAGCGGCCGGUUGCCGUCCCGAAUGGUCAAACCGUCGCAGCAAUGAUAGAAUAGAAUGGAAGCCGCAGCGUUUUCUUCAGUUUCGUUGCGAAGCGGACAAGGGCGCGGCCGCGCGGCCGGCCAGCGGAAGAAAGAAAGAUGCCACGCCAGCGGCCACCAACCGCGGGCAAGUGGAAACCGAAAGCGAGGUGGGGCGGCGCGUGGGCGGACGGGACGGGACGGCAUCAUGGAGGUCGCUACCACCAACCGCGGGCGCCCGGGGCGGGGGCACCUGCCUGCCUGCCGCGCGCCGCCCGCUGGCUGCCGUGGAAAACGAGGGCACCCCGCGCCCGCUCCCGGCUCCCUCCCGCAUGCGGUGGGUUCCACCGCGCUCCCACUACUUUCCCCCACCCCGCGCCGCGGUGCAGUACCGUCCACCGCGCUGCUGGCCGCGCCAAUAGCCGCCGCUGCGCGCUGAUUCGUGAGCCCGGGACACGGGAUCCCUCCCGUGAUCUCCCUGCCCGCGCCGCGGACGCGUCCCCGUUCCACCCCCCAACCCCGCGCGCGGCGCGCCCGCGGUCUCCGCUGCGCCGUGUUCGCGGCCGCGGGGCCGGAUCCGGUCAGCGCUGGCGUCACGCCCCACUCCGCGGCCGCCCCACCCCGGCGCCUGCCUGCCUAACCUAUGCUAUGCGCUCCGACGCGCGCCUCCACUCCACCCCGCCCCGCCCGGCCCACCGCGCGCGCCUCGCUGACGGCCGGGGCCCCGCGCCCCCCCACCUGGCGGGCGCGGGCAGUUGGCGCGCCGGGCGCACGCGGGCGGUGGGAGGAGGAGGCCGGGAGGAAGAGGACGUUGGACGGGCCGAGCCGUGGGGCCCCCGGCCGCCUCCCCGGUUCCCGGUCUCCCACUUUCCGCGGCUGCGCUCCCCCACCUCGUGCAGUCGUGCUCUCUCUCUCCCCCUUUCCUUCGCCCCCGCGUAGACGAUUCCUACCGAGCCGCGGACGGAGGAGACGGAGCAGGAGGCCAGGAGCAUUUUCUCCCCGCAAAAUCCUGCGCCCUUCUCCUGUGCAUUUGGGAGCUCGGCUCGGAUCCCGCCGCCCCCAUCCAGCCAUCCUGCUCUCUCUCUCUCUCUCUGUGUGUGUGUGUGUGUGUGUCUCGUUCUAGGCCUUACUGUUCUCUCUCAGUCACCGCCAGCUCGAUCUCCUCUUCCUCGCCGCGUUGCGUUCCUUCUGCUCGCUUGCCUAGGAUUGGAAUAGGACUUGGCACGCGGGCUUCUUUCCGCUGAAAUCUCUGCCGUGUUCCGAGCAAUUUCUGCUCGAGCGCGCCAUCUGUUGCCACUUGCCAGCAAAAAAACAGUGGAAACCGCCUUGCCUUUCUAGUGUAAGCAAGCUUUCACCUCCCGGAAUUUGCUUCUUUUGGUCAAUCUUUUCGGGGCUUCCAGGUCUCAGCAUCACCAGUGCCCCUUUUGCCGCGAUCUUUCUGUCUGAUCACUGCAGUUUAAGCUCGGAGCACCUCCUUUUCAGACAAUUCAGUCCGCUAGCUGUUGAUCCCAUGCGGCGGUAGCUUCAGCAAAGAUCCUACCAUGCCGCAGGCUCCUACAGAGCCGUUCGCCGUGGCGUAGCUGUAGCCUCGCUGACCCCGAUUGGCCUGCGCGGGCUCCGAGAUUCGGAUUCGGGUUCCUUCUUUUCGGCUCCCGCGCCCGCCAUGAACGGCCUCCCCGACGCCGACGCUGCGGCGCCGCUGGCGACCGCCGCGCCACCGCAGAAGCGCGACGAGUGGAGCGAGGGCGGCAUCGUGCGCCUGCUCGAGGCCUACGAGGCCAAGUGGCUGCUGCGGAACCGCGCCAAGCUCAAGUGGAGCGACUGGGUCGACAUCGCCCGGGAGGUGUCCGCGCAUUGCGCCGACGACGCCGCGGCCGCGGGGAAGGCCCCCGGCGGCGGAGGCGGCAACAGCGCCAAGACCCCCAACCAGUGCAAGAACAAGAUCGAGUCCAUGAAGAAGCGGUACCGGGCCGAGUCCGCCGCGGUGGCGCGCGCAGGCCCCGCCGCCGCCGGCCCGUCGUGGCGGUUCUUUGCCCGUAUGGACGGACUCCUUAAGGGUCCGGCCAUCUGCUCUGGUCAGGUGCCACAGGCAGAGUUGGGUAACAGUAUAGACCUGCGAGCUCCGGCGAAAGCAGAGGCCGAGGUAGUAGAAGCAGAUUUUGCCGCGCAGUUGCCGGAUGCGGGUCCUGGUGCAUUCUCUGAUCUGAUGAACAUUGACACAAAUGGCGCUGUCCCGGAGAAAGCGGAGAAGGUUGACAACAGCGUGCAGAAGGAGAGCAGGGCUGCAGAUAGCGAUGCCAACGUGAGCUCUCCAAGGAGUAAGGUGGCGAACGAGGACGUAGAGGAGGUGGACAAGGUCAGGGACCGGCCCAAGAAGAGAAAGAGCACAGAGUUUGAUAUAGCCAAGAGCAUCGAGCUGCUGGCUAGCUCAUACUUGAAGAUUGAGCACGCCAGAAUGGAGAUGUACAGGGAGACAGAGAGGAUGAGGGCUGAAGCUGAGAUUAAGAAGGGGGAAAUGGAGCUCAAGAGAACAGAAAUCAUGGCAAAAACGCACUUGCAGAUCGCUAAGCUUUUUGCAAAGAGAUUGAAGGAGGGCAGUGGCAAGACUGGUGGCAGCUCGUCAGUAACAGCUGAAGUGGACACCCAUACCAAGAAAGGCGAGAAUGGUUAGUGUCGACACAACAUCCCGAUAACAUGUUUAUAAUUCUGCAAAAGUUCCUAAAAUUCGAGAUAAUGGAUCAAUAUGUAGCUUUCUCUCUGUGAGAGUGCCCCAUUUGCUAAGUCUGUACCUCUAUGUCUGUUCCUGAAAUUCAUGAAUAGGAUGGAAACUUCAGCCUAAAUUAAUUAUAGCAGUCAGAAGUUGAUUACUAUGUAAAAUUGUAGGACACCUUGAGAAUUUGUGUAGUGGUAGAAGUGUAACAUUUUCAUUUUGCAGCUGUUGUCUGCUUUUCCUUAUUCGUAUGUAAUUGUUAGCAAUCCACAUGUGGAUCAUCAUUUCCCCAUUAAAGACUGAAACUACCAGUACGAAAUAUUUAUGUCUGCUAAAACUUCACAAUUAAGACUUCAUGUGAAUUCUCCAUUAACAUGAAGUCUUAAUUGGUAUUGUGAGUUAAGAUCUUGCCAUAUUACAUUGGCAUAUGUGCUUAUUUAGAUAUUGUUCUGGGACCAUAUUUUCUUAUUUCUUUACUGGUGAUAGAAGGGAUUGAUUGCAGACUGAUAUAAAGAUUUUGUUUCAGAAUGCAGAUAUUGCUGCAAGGAAUAGAAUACAAUUUUACCUCUUUCACAACCCAAGAAAAUACUUUACCUAAAUAAAAUGAUCACAUAUGUUCCGAACACAUGUCAGCUGAAAUUCACUACUCAAAUACAGUGCCCCAAUAAAAUGAUCUUUUAUUGUGCAAAAUAAACUGUAAAUGUUUAAAACCAUCUAAUUGCUCCAUAUGCAUGCUUUAGCACUUUUGAUUGGUAAUGAUUUGUAUUCAAGUGCAAUUCUGAAAUUUGUACAUCCCAAAAGCAUAAUCUAAAAGAGUGAUCCCAUCAUUCUGACAACAUUCAGGUGCUAUUAAUAGACCGAGCUUAGUGGUUGUGUACUCUAGGAAGCAUUGAUGUGUCAAUAAUAGGCUUAAAACGUUGAAGUUUAGGGUUACUUCUUGUUUCCUCUGUAUUCAGGUGAUAUUUUUAACUUUCUAAGAAGAAUCCCUUCCCUAAUGUAUGCAACCAAGAUUGACCUAAUAGACGUCGAGGUAUGCUUGUUUUAUUAUGAAUCUGUUCGCCUGCUAGCCUAUAUGAAGAUUCAGCCACACAUGUCAUAUUGAUGGCAUUGUGCUAGCACUAUGAUGUUUUACUGUGUUACAAUAAAAUGAAAAAUAGGGCUCCGAAGUUCCUGAAGGAUUUGCAUUGAGAAGUUGUAACUGCUCUGAGUGAUUUUUGUUCUUGUGUGCUUAUUCUUUUUUGGUUCAGUACCUACUCCUAGUGUUUCUGUCACGGUUACCAUACAAAAUCUCACACCUCUCAAGCUACUCAGAUGUUACAUUGUCUGUUCCGUGGCCCCAACAAUAUUAUUGUGCUGUAUAAGGGACUGCAUUCCUAUAUCACAACUCUUUUACUGCUGCAUAAUAUUCCAAUUUCAAUUUGGAUUCGGAAAAGAGAAUUCAAACUACAGCUGUGCUUGUUUAAUUAUAGAACAAAUUUUGUUUGUACCAGAAGCAAUAUACUGAAUUUUGUACCUGCAUUGUCCACCUUAUAUUGUUUGCUGUGGCCAAUUCUCUUUCUCAACCUUGGACAUGUGAAUUUCAGGUUCAGGGUGAUGUGCCAUUCUCUCAUGCUCAGCAGCUGAUUCUAUUACCAAAGCAGGCUAGCCUUAGGUGUCCUUGGUAUUGCACUGUUCAUGUGCACCAAAUGUAUGUCUGAUUGAUCCAACUUCACUGCGAGCGUGGAGGAAAAAAAAGUCACAAAAUUAGAAUACAGAUGCUAUAAUGGCAGCGACGAUAUGGUUGUUACCCGGUUUGUGGAAUUACAGAAGCAAAUUUUGUAUCAGUGAGUUACAAGCCUGAAAGCUAUCCCCUUCUGUCCCUGAAGUAAUCUACUGACAUCCAUUAUUUGUAUAAGUCCAUCUCCAUGUUGUGAAGAAAUGAAGCAGCGGUCGCCAAUGCUGUGAUAAACUGUAUCUUGCUGAAGCCCUUUCCCCCUUGACUAUGUAUUGUAACUAGAUUUUGGAGAGUUUGACUAUAGGGAUCCAAAACAAAGGUCGGCUAAGUGAAGAACAAAAGUAUAAACUGAACUGUACAUUUUUUUGGGAAAAUUAUAAAAAUGACUUGUCCUGUUACUGUUACUACAGUAUAUUUAAACCGCUUCCUACUGCAAUGGUGACAGACGAGACGAGGCGGUCACAAUUGGCAAAGAAGCUGCCGUGCAAGGUAAGGUCUCACCGUAGUGUAGGCGGGGCAGGGUAAAAAUGUGAGAAGAAGCAAUUCUCAGGAAGAAAAAAAGAAAAAAAGACUGGCGAUUCAAGAACUGAAAAACUCGAGUGCUCGGAUGGCCUCAAACCUUACAUUAGUUUGUUUCUAAUUCAUGUACGGUUAUUUAGAUUCCCCUCCAGAAAUAAUAUUGCCAGUUAAAGUACUUUUGUAACGGAAAUACUAGUAACCACAGACAUACCUGUCCCCACAUGUCAGUGGCCUGUUACCAGGCUGGGAGGACUCCUUGUGUGGCCCAAGCUUUUAACAACCGGAUGUAUGCGAACGCCGAACGGGCAGUCACCACUUGGUCCACCCUCCUCCUCCCUCUGUCCCCUCUCUGGCUAAAAGAACCGCAAAAAGAUCGCAUGUUUUCUGUCUCCGUCCUUCUACUCGAGUUCUUCCGUUCUUCGGAGUCGUCAAAUUGAGCGACUCGAGUUUGCCAUGGUGGUGAUUUGGAACCGGAAGUGCUGUGCUCCCCCUCUGAUCCCCUGAUUGGCCUCGCUCCAGUUCGGCGCGGGAUUUGGACGGGUGGAGGGUGGGAGAGCAGAGGCGGCCGCCAUGUUUGGGUCCAGGGUCCAGGAUGAGGUGGAGAUGCAGAGGAGGCCUAACAACAGGUGCGGGCUUCAUUCCUUAUGGCUUUCCUUUUCCUCUGCGAUGUAUGGUUAGUUCUGAGUUCUGACCAUGUGGAUCCCCUGUUGGAAUGGAUGAGUAGCUGCUAGAAUUUUGCUGAAUUAGGAUUGACUUUCGUUAGCUGUACGGGGAGCGAGAUUUGGGUUCGAUUCUAGUCGAGAGGAGAUAAGAGGUGGUGGCGUAUAGCUUGCACAAUGGGUUCUUCACUACCUCUAGGAAUUGGAGAGGACCAAUUUGAAGCUUUGAUCCCGAUUUGAGCCUGGAUUUUAGUUGCUUUGCUGAAGAGAGGGGAGGGAUGAGCCUAGGAUUGAGAUUGAGAGAGCUUUGCUGGAGAUCAACCGGUCAAGUCCAGAAUAACGCUUUGGUGCUAAUCGGACUAGAUGGUUUUGGUGGGCAUGUCAGAAUCUGACGAAGUUUGUGAAAAUUGCUGAAUAAAUGGAAAGCAUCCACUGCAUUUCAUUUGUUUAAGCUUUUUUUUCCUUUCAUUUAUAUUCAGCUUCAUGUACAAGCUUCUUUGUCUUUCAACUAGCCUGAUUCCCAUGCAACUGCGUGGGCAAAAUUGAAUGACACAGUCUACAUAUGAUUAUCUACACUGUUAUAAUCUGGCAUGCAAAAGUAAGUGAUGUAGAUCCUUUUCUUUUUCUCUUGAUUAGUGAUUGUGAAGGAGAGUUUCUAGGGUUUUACCUUUCGAUAGAUUCUUGUGGGAAUUUCUAACCCUUAAAGGGAAGGAAGCGCCAACCAUCUAUGGGUAUAUAGAUGUAUCAUGAUGAACUAAUGGUUAUAGCCUAUGUGGGUGGAGAUGUUUUUUUUUGUGGGAUGCUAUGUUCAGAUGAUAAUUCUGUUGCUACUUUCUUUCAAAGCACUCUAUUUUAACCCAAAAUUAUGUUGAUCAUAUUGACACAUUUUACUAAUUCUUCUAAGUUUCUGUUCUAUCUUUAGGAUCUUUCCUGACGAGAGACAAAAUCAAUCUAAGCCAUUAUAUCAAGCUGCACGAGCCGAUAGAUUUGGGGCAAAUAGAAUAGAUGUGAAGAAUCCUGAGAAGCUUAAGAUGUUAAAUGAAGGCAGCAAACCAUGGCACCAGCGUAUUCUAGACCCUGGAAGUAAUAUUGUACUGAGCUGGAACAGGGUGUUCCUUGUGGCAUGUUUGUUUGCUCUUUUUAUCGAUCCUUUUUUCUAUUACCUUCCAUUGGUUAGAGAACACGGUAAUGGAUCUUCGUGUGUUGCCAAGGACCAGGGACUGAGCAUAAGAAUCACCGUUCUACGAUCACUUGCUGACUUGUUUUACAUGUUGAACAUAGCAAUCAAGUUUCAUACUGCAUAUGUGGAUCCAAAAUCCCGAGUCCUUGGAAAGGGAGAGCUUGUUGUGGAUAUUAAGAAGAUUCAACAAAGAUAUAUAAGAACUGAUUUCUUUGUAGACAUACUUGCAGCUGUGCCGCUUCCACAGGUAAAGACCUCACAAAAUUAAUUUGCAGCAGAUCUCGUUGCAUAAAUUAAUUGCUUAUCAUUUUCUUAUUUUUCCAUUUCUACUGGUAUAACAAACAGCUGUUGUUUAUAUAUGUUCGGUAGCAAUAACAUAUACAUACUCUUUUGAACUAAACUGGUUGAGUAGCAUCUAUGCGUCCAACUUUGGUUAGAUUCUUUUGGUAGGCCUCUGGGAUGAGCCCAUACCAUUAGUUCCCUUAAUAUAAAAGGUUAUUGAAGGAAGUCAUCUGGCCAGUGCUUCCUGGUAAUGUUACUAUUUCCUAUCCUAGCUAAUUGUUGUCAGUAACCAAAUAUACCUCCAGAUUGUGACUUCAAUAAGGUGGAGCCAGCUAGCUUUCUACCUGGUAGAGCCAAAAGACAAUUGGUUUGAUCUUUUUCAACUCAGAUCAUGUGUAUCAUCUGAAUCUAAUUAACAUCCACUUAGAUCAUAAGAAAACAUUAAAAUUAUGAAAUUUUACUGUAAUAAGCUAUCUUAGCCAAAUCCUUGUAGAACAUUUUUGCCUGUGUAGAUGAAAUUUUGAAUGAUGAUUAUCACAAAUACUGAAUACCCAUGACUUGGUUUGCUAGUUCAAACUUCUGUAGUGAUGACUUGAAUCUUUCUGGGAUGCCUUUGUUUUGCAGGUUACUGUGUGGUUAAUUAUGCCUGCGAUAAAAAACUCAGAUUAUAACGUCCGGAACACUGCAUUUGCUCUCAUAAUUGUGAUUCAAUAUGUCAUAAGAAUGUAUCUCAUCGUCCCUUUAAGCAAUCAAAUUAUCAAAGCUGUUGGAGUUGUUGCAAAGUCAGCUUGGGGAGGAGCAGCAUACAAUCUUCUACUCUACAUGCUUGCAAGCCAUGUAUGGUCAUCCAUUUCCAAUUUCACUUAUAAAAUUGCUGGGAUGCUAAUUUGAAUCAAGCUUUAUUUCAGCUUAUUUUUGUCCUAAGGGAUAUGCAUGAUUUAUUUGCUAUUUAAAAUUAAGCUUGCCUUUUCUUCAUAUGGAACCUAAAAUCAGUGUUAUAUUCUAUUUUUCUAUUUAUAUGCAUGCUUUAUAGUGGCAGGGAACCAGCCUGUGAAGGCAACCACCGAGCGGUAUGGUUUGGGCCCUCCCAUCUGGGGUAGUUGCACGUGAUUGCCAGUCCCCUAUAGGGCCCAGGUUACGAUGCGGCCCAAUAGUGUUUGGGGGGUUUCUGGGCCUGUAGAAGGUUGAUUUCCUUCUUAAUCGAAAUACCGUGGGGGCGAUCUUUCCCCCACCGUUCGAGUUUCUUUUUUACGCUGAUAUGACAAGCAUAUCGAUUAUCCUAGUAUGCACUAGAAUUCAGUCUCAUGAAACACUAUUGGAGUAGAUAUGCAUGUGAGCUCAAUUGUGAGAAACAAUGCGACCACUAUCAUCUUGCAUUUUUUUCGUUACACUUUUGUAUGCUUGAUACUAAAAUAAUGUCACUUAUGACUUGUGUACAUCGCUGCAGAUUACUGGUGCAAUAUAUUAUCUUCUCUCCAUCGAACGGCAGAUUACGUGUUGGGAUCAGCAGUGCCUUGCUGAGUCCAACGUUACAUCUUGCAACCUUAGAUUUAUAAGUUGUGAGAGUGAUGGUUCUAACAGUUAUUCUGAGUGGCAAAAGAAAACACAGAUAUUUGUCAACUGUAAUGCCAAUGACAAUUCUAUACAAUUUAAGUACGGAAUGUUUUCUAGUGCACUGAGUAAAGGCGCUGUCUCAGCUUCAUUUCUUGAGAAGUACUUCUUUUGUCUUUGGUGGGGCUUGCUGCAGCUUAGGUAGUGAUCUAUCAAGAUAUUCUGUAUUUUUUAAAGAUCCAUCAAGAUAUUCUAUCACCUUGGGUUAUUUUGUAUGUCUCUAAUACAAUUACUAAUGUUAAGGUCUGUGUCUAUUGUCACCUUUCCAGUUCAAGCGGAAAUCCUCUUCAAACAAGUGCAUUUAUCGUAGAGAACGCAUUUGCGAUAGCAAUUGGUGCUAUCAGUCUCAUACUCUUUGCUCAGUUGAUUGGCAAUAUGCAGGUAAUGUCAUAAACUCUCACUUCUGUAGUGCAAUAAGAUGUUUUGGACUUGACAGUUCAUACUUUUUAUGCCCAUCUUGCCAAGUUAAUCCUAGGAUUGAAUUAGCAUGAAUAAUUGCAUCAUGUGUUAAAUUUGUAAGCAAAUUUUGAAAACUGAACUAGUUUGGCAAAAUUAUCAUGUAUUCAGUUAUAUUAUGAUGAUAUGUGUUAGGCUAUUUUAACUUUCUGUCAUUUUUUUGCUAACAAGCUAGAGGAUAACUUCCAUUUCAUGGUUUGAAAUUUCUGCUAAAAAUAAGGCUAUUACUGUUUCUGUAUUCAGUGAGCCAUUUUUCAUAUUGAUAGACCUCUUGAUGUCUGAUUCAGAGAUCACUUCGUAUUCUUUUCUUCUUUUAGACAUACCUGCAGUCUAUCAGUAAAAGGCUUGAGGAGUGGAGGCUGAGGCAAAGGGACAUGGAUGAGUGGAUGAGACAUCAUCAACUCCCAGCUCAUCUUCAAGAACGUGUCCGGCGGUUUGUUCAAGUUAAAUGGCUUGCGACACGAGGAGUAGAAGAAGAGUCCAUCUUGCAAGCUUUGCCUGCUGACAUACGCCGGGAUGUGCAGCGACAUCUUUGUUUGGACCUUGUUCGACGUGUAAGUUGCGGUUAUACUAUCAUCUCGCAGCUGAAUAAGUAGAAUUUUAAGCCUUUGAUUGUUGAUGGAAUGUUUACUGUAUUUGGAUGGAAAGAAACAAACUGUCACUCUGUUGCUAAUUGCAAUUGCUUCUAGUGCUAGUUGAAACUUGAUAUACAUUCCAUGGCAUGCCUCUGAUUCCAUUCUUCAAUGCAGGUCCCUUUUUUCUCUGAGAUGGAUGACCAACUUCUUGAUGCCAUCUGUGAGCGGCUGGUGUCUUUCCUGUGCCCUGAGAAUACAUACAUCUCUCGCGAGGGUGAUCCUGUGAAUGAGAUGCUUUUUAUUAUACGUGGCAAACUAGAGAGUUCAACAACCAAUGGUGGCCGCAGCAACUUCUUCAACUCUAUCAUCCUGCGCCCUGGUGAUUUCGCAGGUGAAGAACUGCUCACAUGGGCCCUGCUUCCGAAGACCAACGUCCACUUCCCGCUUUCAACAAGGACCGUGCGGAGCCUCACAGAGGUGGAAGCCUUUGCUCUGCGAGCUGAGGACCUGAAGUUCGUUGCAAACCAGUUCCGAAGGCUCCACAGCAAGAAGCUCCAGCACACAUUCCGGUUCUACUCCCACCACUGGAGGACAUGGGCUGCCUGCUUCAUCCAGGCGGCGUGGCGGCAGCACCAGAGAAGGAAGCUGGCUGAAAGCCUCAGCCGAUUGGAGUCAUACUCAUGGUGGUCAGAGGAUCAUCUGGCUGCUGAUAAACCCAGACAAGAAGGCACCUCAAGUGGUGGUAGGACGAUUGCUGAGGGUGCCAUUGCCCAUAUGCAUAAGCUCGCAUCUGCUUCCAGAAGGUUCCGUGCCAAGGACACUGCUAUUCGCAGGUUGCAGAAGCCUGAUGAGCCUGACUUCUCCGAAGACCAUUUCGAUUGAACCUGAUGCUUUGCAGUUGGAAAUACACGUUGUACAAUUACAACCAUAGUGUAAUUUUAUAUUCUUACUAAACAAGAAUUCUAGGUGUUGUGAAUUGUGAUAGAAAAGGUGUAUCAUGUAAUCCUUAGCUCGAGAAUCUACCCUGUUAGUGUAUAGACUUCAUCUUUGCAGUGCAUAUGGACUUGAGAGUUCUGAAGCCUCAUAUAUUGAGUUUCAGAGAUGCCAAUGAAUCUGGACGAUGCUCUGUUCAGGGACAGCAGCGCCAGCACUGACUUGGUACUUGGGUAGCACUGGUGUGGUGUCUGGUGACAAAAGAUUUAGCUCAAGCACUGUCCAAUGUACAUUGAGAUUCGUGAUCCCGAAGCUCUUGUGCUAUUUGGCUUUUGCUCUCUGGUCUCAGAGCCUCCGCCCUCCGUCUUGCUCACCUGAGUCACCUACUCACCUCCCCUAUCCGCCGCGCCCAAGCCUCUCGGCUUCGUCGGCGUCUUCCUCGCUCAGUCUUCACCGCAGUAAGUGAGAUUGAAAUGAGCUUAGCAUCAGAUGCUAAUCCCCUCCCCUCUUCGUUCGAUUCCGAUUUUGUUUUGCGUUUUUCUCUUGGCAAAGUUAUGCUACGAUAGCUGAGCUGCGCUGUUCGUGAUGGUCAUUUCACCCCCCAAUCCAGCAGUGGCAUGAGGGCGGGGCGGCCCAAGAUCGGCGACCAGGCGACCAGCGACGUGGUUGUGCGGCUACGGACACCGGAGGGCCGCGACGAGUGGCUCUACUGCCACUCCGCCGUCCUCGCCGCCGGCAGCACCUACUUCGCCGAUCGCCUCUCCGACGCCUGGCCGACGUGCCAGAUCCUCGGUUCGCGCUACUGCGUCGAGGUCUACUGCCAGGAGCUCGACCUCAGCUCCCAUGUCACCGCGCUCCGCCUCCUAUACGCCGCCGAGCCCUGCUCCCGCUUCGGCGUCCGCGGCGCGCUCGGCGUACUCCAGGCCGCCGUGAACCUCGGCUGCGCCCAGAUCGCCGCCGCCUGCGCCGGCUACAUCGAGUCCGCCCCCUGGGACGAGGCCGACGAGGAGGAGAUUCUGAGGACCGUCCCCGGCCUCGGCGCGCAGUACGAAUACAUCCUUGCGCGUCUCCGGCCGAUCGAUCCGGCUCCGGUAACCAGCAUCUUCCUUUCGGCGUUCCGGCACGCCACGCGCUCGUCCGCAGCUGGGCCGGCGCGGGAGCUCAAGUCUGCAGCUCAGGAGCAGCUGGAGUAUAUGCUCACCGAGGAUGACGACACACCAUUGGUAGCCCUUGACAACAUCGAUGUCAAGUCUCAGGUGAAGGAAUGUGUCACUGGUUUGCUGAACAGGUUCAGUGAUUUCUUGAGUUCUGUACUGACGAAGCAGAAGGAGACGCCUCUUGUUGGUGACAAUGGCGAACUUCAGCAGGAGCUGCACACAUUUGUUUGUGACGUCUCCUGGGUCUGUCAGGUCUUGAGCAAGCUUGAGAUGGUGAAGUGCAUUGUUCUCUAUUGGGUUGGAGUGUCAUCUGAUGUGGUUGAAGCUGUCGACGCAGUAUGCCCUGGGCACGACUGUCUGAAUACCAGGCUGAAGGUGGUAGAGGUGUCUGCAAAAGUACUGGAGGCUGUUGCGUUUGGCAAUAUUGUUCUUCCAACCGAGAAACGUCGUCAUAUGGUGAAUGUCUGGAUUGCCUUUGCAAGAACAACAAAGGCUUUGAUUGUUCAGGCUGAUCGUGAUGACGACGAUGAUGGUGAUGUCGAGACACCAAAGGCAAACCUGGACAACGAGGUUUGGCAGGGGCUGGAGUCGGCAUUUGUUUCAAUUGUGCUGACACUGCCGUCAAAUAGUCAAGCUGAGAUUUUAUCAGAGUGGCUCCAGUCAAAACAUGUUCGAUAUCCUGACUUGACAGAGGCGUUUGAAGCCUGGUGUUACAGAUCGAAGGUUGCCAAAAGAAGGUUCUCUUUCUUGAGUGACAUUGAUCGCGUAUCUUGAUCCUUGACUAGUCUAAUCGCGCUGUGGAAAAAUGCCAUUUUGUUCAUAUUCCUACCAUCUGACUCUCGAACUUGUCACUGAUAGGAUUGAGUUGCUGCCUUUCACUGAAACAGUCAUAAUGGAGCUCCAUUAUCUUGAUUCCAACUCACCCCAGAUCAGGUUGUCAGUUAAGUUUUGGUGGAUUAUCUGCUUAUGAACUUACAUUGAACAUCGCUGAUGGAAUACACAGCAGUACACAGCACUAUCGAGAUAAAGUAGCCGACAGAACAUCCUGGUCGAUAUACACAAGUCAUGAUCUGCACCUGCGUGUGGUUGAAGCUAUGCUGCAAAAUUGGAACAGACGCUGCUGUGGUUGGCAAAUGACCAAAGCAAACCGGAGAUACCUGAAUUGAACAAGUUCACAUGCUUUCGCUAUUUUGUUAGAAGAUGCACAGCUAUGUUGAUGCUCCCCUUUCUCAGGUUUUGUUACCUCCAGCGUGAUGCUGGAGGCAUAGCCGCAUGUGCAGUGCUGAAAAGGGCUCUUGCUGCCAGAAUGAGGAGAUACCUGUGGUUCCUAUUGAAAUUGACAAUAUCAGUUAUAUCACAGUAUAUGUCUUGAAUCUUGAUAGCAUCAAGUGGCCGACUCUUGACAGGCGGGAUGGCAGCCAGAUUUAGUACAUUACGCACCAUCCCUUGCUCUCCGCGAGGCAACAGUCUGUGAUCAAUAGGGCAUCAUUUCCUGCCCGCAGAAAAGAAAUUUGUAAUAAGUUGGUGUGAGAUCAGCUAAUCUUGUCUUUGAGGAAGUAAUCGGGGAUCGUGUGAUCUGUUAAUUGAUUGGGUAUUGAUCAUGAGAUUUUGACAAGCAUCCACGUGCCUGUCUCUUUUUGCUCGUGAGGGUUGCUUUGCCGAGUCACCACCAUGUUCUAAAUCGCGCAGUAUAUAGUAGGCAGUGGAAAACUGAAAUUAACGACUUUAAUCUCUGAAUGUAUUAUUAACAUCUACUGAGUAAGGUAAUCAGUAACAGCGCCCAUGGCCUAAUGGAUAAGGCGUCUGACUUCUAAUCAGGCGAUUGUGGGUUCGAGUCCCACUGGGCGUGCAAUUUACUUUUUUUGUGUUUUUAUUCCCCCCGCUGGCCUGCCUGGAUACCUCUGCGUCCAUGUGCAUCGAUGAGAACCCACAGCAUAGUAAGCCAAGCCUUCUGGUCGGUUGACAACCAGGAAGAUCGGAACUAGAUGCAAGCAGAGCAUUCAGGACUACUGCUUUUGGCUGUCCGUUUUGCCUAAUCUGGCUCCAACAAGACGUGGUCUACUCCCCGAGCUUUCUCCUGAAGGCCCCUUGCCGCCGUACGCCCGUACCGAGAGGCGAGAGAGAUCGAUCAAUGGCGCGGUUUGCAUGGCAGCGCUUGAUGACAAGAUGUUCGCGUGAGCUUGUGCUACCACUACAAGCUGCACAAGGGCAGAAGGGCUACAGCUGAUCAUCAGUCAUCACUGGCCACCGAUAGAGAAAUUGCCUAUCUGUAUAUUAUUGACGAGUCCAACACUAGUUGCUGAGUCCAACUUGAAUGGACGGACGCUCUAGAUGAUUGAUCUCUGUACUGAAACUACAUGACUGCAACUAACUAUACUCAUGCGGUGCUAAAGCGAUAGAGCAGCUCUCGGUCGAUCGUCUGCUACAACUUUUUUCCUUCGUGAUGACGAGUAGUUGUACUGGUUGUUAUCACUGCCAUGGCAAAUCAGCUUUCUCAAAAGAGCAACAAAAGUCUUGCUGGCUCCUGUAGUAGCUUGUUGAUAGCUCUGCGACAAGGCCACACGUGCUGUUCCGGUCCGCAAACGCCAUCAAAUUUCCACUGUUAACGUCCCCUAUCCUGGAUCUGGAUGCGUGCUGGACAUGAACUCGUGUAGAAAGAGCUAGUAAAGCGUUCGUUGUGGAAAUGCUUGCAAGUUUACUAUGCGUAUACUCCAUAUACAGUCCAUAUACACACAUGGACAUUUUGUGUUUCCUGAGAAUAUCUCGAUCGAUCGAUCGAUGUGUCGGCACGUCGUCGCUCCUGGAACUAGUAGCGAUAUUGCAAAGCAAAAGCCUAGCUACUGCAUUUUCCAAUAAUUUUUUUUUGGGAUGCCAUUUCCUUCGAGUUCGGGAGAAAAAGAAGAAGCGUAGGUUUUUUUUUUUUUUUGAGAUCAGAACGUAGUACAAUCGAGAGGGGAUACAGGAAACAUCAUGUGCAGCGGGGCCUGUCAGCCCAGAAAAUGGCCCAUUGCCUGGCUGGCCCAACCAAACAAAGCGGCUGCCAAGCCCAGGAAAUGGCCUCCUUCUCCUGGCCUCCUGGGCCGGGCCUGUCAGCCGCAGUGUACAAGAGGCUGACCAUUCGAAUUCGCAAACUAGAGUAGAAGACGAGUAGACGCACGUAUCCAGAAAAGGAAAGUGCCCGUUCGUUUCAAAAAAAAAGAAGAAAAAACAAAGAAAAGUGCCAGUUCCAAUUCCCAAAUGUCCACAGUCCACCGCCACCGGCCGGCGGCCGCCGCCGCGCCGCCAUUCCAGAUCUGCCAUGGGGGUGGUCGCCGGAGCCAACGGGAAGGGGAGGCAGCCAGCAGAAGAGGAAGGGCAAGGCCCGGACUACAUCAGCGGCCUUCCGGACGCCGUCCUCGGCGACAUCGUCUCCCGCCUCCCCACAAAGGACGGCGCUCGCACGCAGGCCCUCUCCUCCCUGUGGCGCCACGUGCGGCGCUCCGCUCCCCUCAACCUGGACCUCCGCUUCCAUCCCAUCCCCCUCGGCAAGGUGCCCCGCGUCCUCUCCUCGCACCCGGGCCCUGCCCGCCGCUUCUCCACCCCCGCGUGCUACGGGAAGCUCCGCGACGCACCGCCGUGACCCUGGACGGCUGGCUCCGCUCCCGCGCCCUCGACGGCCUCCAGGAGCUCGACUUCCACUACGACAUCCCGGCUCGGGAUCGGGGGAAUCCUCCGCCGCUGCCCGCACCGGCACUCCGCUUCUCGUGCACUCUUCGCGUCGCCAGAUUCUGCUUCUGCCGUUUCCCGGAUGGAAUCGAUGUCCGCUUGCCGGUUCUCGAGGAGCUGCACCUUUCGCAUGGCAUCAUCUCGGAGAGUUCUGUGCAUGCCUUGCUUCGCCGGCUGCCCUGUUCUGCAGAGGUUGCGGCUAACUUACAAUGAUGGCUGCACUAGUGUUCGGAUCGCGUCCCCUACCAUCAGAAGCGUUGAUGUAGGUCGAGGUUCGGGAGACCUCGGUUUGCAGCAACUCGUCAUCGAGGAUGCUCCCUGCCUGGAGAGAUUACGUCAUGAUACUCCUAUUUCACAUCACAAGAUGAUGGACAUCUUGGUGAUCUCGGGGCCAAAAUUGAGCAUUUUGGGGCGUAUCUAUGAUCACUUUCCCAGAUUUGAGAUUGGCACCACAGUUUUUAAGGUACAUGCGCUUUUAUCUUUAUAAGAAUCUCAAGUCUCUUUGCUUCAUCAUGGUGUCAACUGUCAAUCUUCGGAUUUUUCCUCACAUCCAUCUUCACAAGACUAUCGUGUCUCUUUGCUUCAUUAUGGUUUCAACUUUUGUAUUUUGUGCUUACAUUUGUAUUUUGUGCGCACUGUGAAGGUCUUUAUCUUUGUCAAACAAGAGUCUUCGUUUGGGUUUGGUUCUUAACUUCAUGAAAUGCUUUCCCUGCUUGGAGCAGCUGAACAUCAAUGUGAGUAAACUUACUCUUUAAUUCAGUUUCCGUCUGCAUUGAUUAUUUUGUAACUUACUAUUGCUUCAAUACUUGUUCUAGAGUAGGUUGUCACUAUUUUUGUGUUUAUUUGGCCUUUCCCGACAUUAUUCUAAGGAAGGGAAAAUGUGUGGGGUAAUGGACUCUGCAAUCUUAUUAAUACCCAUGGCACUUGUUUGAAGAAAAUUGUGUUGAGAAACUAUAGAGGCAACGAGUCACAUGUUAACUUUGUCAAGUUCUUUGUAUUGAAUGCAAGGGUUAUAGAGUCAAUAAGGCUUGUGUUGAAGUUUAGGAACGUUAGCAAUAGUUGGAUUGAAGGACAGCGCAGCCUGCUUCAGUUUGAAAUGAGAGCUUCCAAGGGUGCACAGUUGGAUUUUGUGUCUUCUGAUAGUUUGCGUGAUGAGGAAACCGCGUGAUUUCUCCAGAGAGGACCUCAUUUCCAGGUAUCAUAACUGGUCCUGAUUUCUUUCUUUCCAUGGAUUAGGGCACCAGACUAUACUAUUUAUCAGACACUUACUGGUCACCUGUUUGCAGCAUUUCGAUGUCUCUUCUCAUGGAAUAUUGUUCAAGAUACAGGAUUACCGGACCAUGAACCACAUACACCUAGGGAGAAGCAGAUUCCUGUCUGCUUGGGGCAAUGGAACAGUGACUUCAAUCUUGUUGUAGCUCUGCCAAAAGUGCAAGGAAGCCUGCAUUUUCACUUGUGCUACUGCUAACUACUGUACAUGUAUAAACUUGUAGACUUGUGAUAGUCCUGUCAACAGGGAUGGUCAUUUGGCUUGUCUGCUACAGGUUCUGUCGUGGAUCUAUGACUGCUAACUACUGUACAUGUAUAAACUUGUAGACUUGUGAUAGUCCUGUCAACAGGGAUGGUCAUUUGGCUUGUCUGCUACAGGUUCUGUCGUGGAUCUAUGACUGACCAGUUGCAGCAACUGAUUUCCUGCCCUAAGACUUGUUCCUGGCUGGUAGGAUGAAAGUACCAUGAUUGUAAACGCCUUUGAGAUGCCUCGACAUCCAUUUCUCAUGACAGUAGCACAGCAGUGAGAAACCAUCGAGGCAGAAACUCAAGGAAUGAAUUUCACGUUGUUCAUUUUGCUCGAUGCGAAAAAGCUGGAGUCGUCAAUGAGAUAUUGACGGGUGAACUCUACAUUGAGAACAAGGGGUUGUCUUUUGCAGCUCACAUCGUGGUAAUAUAAGUAGAGCAGAAUUCCAACCUGAGAAUUUGGGAGAUACAAUUUCCAGCUUAGAGUAGCAGCUUGACAUACAGCUCCUCAUGACAGUUUUUUUCAGAAUUGCAUGAACGCUCACGCCCCUUUGGUAAGCUGUGAACAAGAACAGGAAGAUGAGUUGAUUAAAGCCAGACCGAAUACAAUCAAUUUUCCAUUGCUUGAAGAGGUGGAUACCAAUCAUCCCUGAUGAUCCAUGACACAUAUUCAGUAGAAGACUACCGUAGGACAACACGCGCUAAUGCGAGAGGUAGCCUAGCAAAUGUUCCAACGCGCCCCAAAGCACCUCUACGAUCAACAAACCAGUUAAGAUGAUCAAUAAACUAAUAAUAUAAGUCCUCAAUGAUCAAUCAGUUAUCAGUCAAUCAUAUCUAGAUACAUCCCCGAUCAAACCAGAAAGAAAGUAAAGCAAAGCAACCAAGGGUUCUGUCCCUCACCAGUACUGAUAAGAUGCUACGGCCGAUCGAUCAAUAGAUACAGAUACACCGUGAUGCAAGCUAGCUAGAUGAACUGAGCGGAGAGGAGCCUGCGUGCGCACGGCACGCUCAUCUCAGUGCGCGCCCCACCACUCUACUGUUGGGUUGUCCCGUUUGCCUCAUCUGGCUCCAACACGAUGCGCUCCCUGAGAUUUCCGUCUCCUGAACCUGAACCCAUCGUCCUCCCUCGCCGUCCUCAACUGCUGCUUGAGAAACCAAGAUGGCACGGUUCGGCACGGCGCAGAGAUAUGACAGGAUGUUUGCCUGAGCUCGUGCUACGGCAUCGACUGACUUUUCCAGCCAUAUAUGCAUCGACCUGACCAGCUCGCUUGCUUCUCGAUCAGGAUGGGAACGUACGUGCGUGCGCUCUCUGCAGCUAGGUAACCAUGAUGGGUGACAGCGCGAGCAACUAAUUAAGCAUCGAGGACGGGAAGCCGCUGCUAGCUGCCAGCAAGUCUUCCUGCAUGCUGUAGACGACCAAUCAGCGGCGGCGGGUUUGGAGCCUUUCGCUCUGUCUGAAGCUGCAGAGAUGGUGACUUCAGCAGGAGUAGGUAUCUUCAGGGCUGUGGUUUUUCCUUGGACUUAUUGUGUUAGUCACAUGCGUAGGAUUAAGCUAUGAUUGUGAUUGUCCAGCAGGAGGGAAAGAAUCAAGCAAGAUGGAUUAGGGGCGCUUAGGGCAGCAGCUGGGCCCUAAGCCACUAACACACGACAUUGUCGCCAUCUUGUAGCCACCUAUAGAUACCUAGCUACUCCUAUAUACUUAUAUAUACAUACUCCAAUAGUGUGCAUUGAAUAAGCUUUGCUUUUCCGGUGCUAGCCAUGCAUGCAUACAUACACAGGUUAAUUAGGAGUACCAAUGUACGUACACUACUACACUUACUGGUAGUUCAAUAUGCAUACGCCAACAUGGAGAUGGUUUCAGAAACGCCUUAGCAUACUACACCAUUAACAACCUGAACACGACUAUCACUUGAUUAAUUCCAAGCUUGAAGUGUUCUUUUUUUUCCCGACAAAUCAGUUUGAUAUGACCUGUUGAAUCAUUGAUUGGCUAGUGAGGCAUUAGGCUAAUAGCCUAUUACCACCACAUUAUUUUGAAGGCAUGAACGCUAUACUAUACAUUGAUUGAUCUGUACUGAAACUGCUUCAUGGAUGCCACUAAACACUAAUGUUGCUCAUUUAUUUAUUGCACCAAAAAAAUGUUAACUUGCACUGGUGCGCGCGGUGCUAACAUCUAGUUUCCUACUUGGCGGUACAAGGGCUUCAAGUGCAACUACUUUCUUGCUAGCCACUCAGCACUCACAAGAUGCAGAUAAGCAGCUCCGAGUCGACCGUUUACUACCUCUUUUUUCUUCGCGAUCGCAGUAGUCUGUACUCAUCAUCACUGCCAUGGCAAAUCAACUUUCAGAAAAAGGAACACCAAAGUCUUGCUACCUAUCUAGCUUCAUCGCUCCGUGACAGGCCACAUGCUAACCUUGUCCCAAAACGCCGAAUUUCCACUGUCCAUGUCCCCCCAGAGUGGCUGGUGUUCGAAUAUGGCUUAUCACCCUGGAUGCGUGCAGGGUCACAACUUGUGCAGAAAGAGUAAGCCUUCUGCUUGAACAUCCAUUCAUGUGUGCAAGUCUACUAUGCGUAUACUCCAUAGUUUGUGUGUUCAGUAAACAUCUAAUCGGUCGGUCGAUCGAUGUGUCGACACGCAUCAUGCAACAUUGCUGAGAGCCAGUGAUGUCUUCUAUGGUAAGAUCAUGUAACUACUGAAAGAUCCUGCAAAGCAAGAGCCCCGGGCGGCCCAGUGCGUUUUCCAUUCAGAGUUUGGGGAACUAGCAAAGAGAGUUGCAGUCUGGCAAAAGCAAGUUCCAAGAAGAAACCUAGCUAUAGACACAACUUUACCAAAGACCCAAGCAAAGGCAAGAACAGCACUACCCAACAGCACAGCUAGCCCUUGCUUAUGUGUUUGGUGGCCUUGAAGUAAUUUCACUCGGUUAACCUUUUACAGCACAGGUAAAACGAAAAUAGAAGUAGAGCACAUAUACUUCACUAGAUAGCUUUGAAAAACCAUAGCGAGACUGUCAAUUGCCCACUUAAUAUAUUUUUCUUGGUUUUUGAAUCCUGCUUAGACCACAUGCAGCCGACAGCUAGCUGCACUUGUACGUCUGAACGUUUGUGCUCUUUUGUAUUAUUAGUAUUUCUAUAAAAUGUCGCGCAAAGCUUUUCUGUUUUCCGAAAGAAAGAAUAAUCGUCGCGAGAUACAUUUUCCAGUUUUCUCUGAGGAGGAUCUUGUAACUAGCUACGCUAGCUCAUCAAUAUACUGUCAACACAUGUAUACACACAAUUUUGAGCAUGCAGGAAAUAUAUAGCAUGGUGUCCAUGAUAUCUAUAGAUAGAUGAAUAUAAAUGGAGAGGCCUGGCUUUAUAUAGAUCUAGAUUAGUUGUUGCAGAAAGUUAUGUACCAACUAUAUAUAUAUACUACUCAGUAGCUAGCUUAGCUAGUCAAAGCUUAAAGCACCUGAUCAAAGAGUAGGCCAGCAAGCAAUUAAUUAGCUAAAAGGCCACUUGCACCGGAUCGGCCGGAGGAGAGAGAUUAAUUGGACGUACGGCAGAUGCAACAACUAAUCAAGCGUGCAUGCAAACUUCUGAUCUCAUCAGAUCAUCAGAGCUUGAGCGACAGGUCGAUCUCCUCCCCGUUCCGGCCGUGGCCGAGGCGGCCACAGCCGCCGUCAGCCGCGGCGGCCGUGUCAGCGCCCCAUCCUGCCAUGUCCAUCACGACGCUCGGUGUCGGUGGCGCCGCCUGCUGCGCCGCCGUGGCGUCCUCGGCCGCCCCAGUGGACCACGUGGCGCCGUACGUCGCCGGCAGCAGGAAGUCGUCGUCCCUGUUGUUGUUGUUGCGUUCCGGUGGCGCGGCGUGGAAGACGACGGCCGGUGGCGCCGGCGUCGGCGGCGGGGACGAGGACGGCGGCGCGGCGGCGGCGAGGAUGUCCCGGCUGCGCUUGGCGAGGGUGCGCUCGAGCUUGUGCGCGUUCUGGUGGCCGCCCAGCGCCUGCGAGCUGUAGAAUUUGCGGUGGCAGUAGUUGCAGGCGAAGGACUCCCCCGGGCGGCGGCCGCCGUCGACGGCGGGGACGGCGGCAACGGCGGGUCCAGAGCGGCGGCCGCGGGGAGAGAGGUCGUCGAGGCUGACGCCGUGGGCGCCCGACGCCGCCAGCUCGUUCUCCAUCGAUCGGCGGCCGGAAGCGAAGACUCUCUCUGCUACCUACGGUGCUGGGAAGUGAGGAGGAGAUCGAGGGAUGUAGCCCGUGUUGGGAGGAGGCUCGAAGCCGAUGGACACCAGCAAGAACGCAGUGGCGUGUGGCCGCGUGAGAGCCCCGGUAUAUAAUGACAAGCAGCCCGGGCCGGCUCCACUCCCACGCGUGUGCACGAGCCGGCCGCGUACACUUUGGGAGUAUCUGUACACGGUUUGUACGUGUUGCGACGUACGUGGCGUAUUUGGAGAUGUACGUCUUUCCCCUCUCGUACGCACACACACGUUCGGGGGGCUCGGGGCAGUGUGUGCUACGCUCGAGCGCUGAUCGAAAGAAAAUGACGAGGAGACAGCAGUAGGGGAGGUCGAGGUCCACGCAGUCAACUCGGCCGACAUGGAGACCUGUGAAAAGAGUAGCUAGGGGGCUUAGCGUCCGGCUAGCGGACAAGCCGUUGAACAGUCGAACUUGCGCAUGUGCGUGAAUGCCGCGAUGCGUCCGGCCAGUAGGCGCCCGACACCGCGGGCGUCCAUGGAUCUCUCCCAGAUAUUCAGGUGUGGGGCUGGUGCUUCCCGAUGAGAAAGACGGGGGGCCCUGGAGGCUGGAGGUGCCCAGCCGUCACGUCAGUGACCGUCGCAUGCACGGGCCGGGCGGCCGAGACGAGCCCGUGUGCUCUACCGGUGCGCUAGCAGCAUGGCACCUGCAGUCUGCAGAUCGCGGAACGCGACAAAGCGAUCGAGGUAGCUAUCUGCUAGUCUGUUCACUCAUCAGAUCGACCACUCUGUCCUUUUCAGUCGCGUUGCGUCGAUCCAUCGGCCGAUCUGCAUGCAGCGGCGCUCAGCGAGAAACGCGUCUGAACUUACUGCAUCCAUCGAUGAUGAACAAUCCACUGAAUGGUCGAUGAUGAACAAUCCAUUGAAUGGCUAGCGGCAGCCUCUGAGUCUGAAUGGAUCGAUGUAACCAACGCCCUCCUGCAUAUACACGGAAGGGCCGACACAAGUAGCAGCUCAGAUGGAUGACCCGCUGCACAUGAUCGAUGGCGAGGGCUUCCGCAGAAAGAAGCGAAAAAAUGGCACCAGGGGGAACCGGACGCGCAGGUUCCGAGUUCAGACUUGACUAGCGUGCUGAUGCGCAUUAGUCCCUGGCAUGCACGGUCACUCACAUGACUGCACGAGUGCUGUGGUGGCAGCAGUACAGCAUGGAACGUCCGUCCCUGCCCCUGUUCCCCACUGACAUUUGUCCUGGCAUUCUUUCGCGUAGUAUCUCAGAGCAGAGCCUGAGCCUGAUGCCUGAUGGCUUCACCGACGCGGCCAAAAGAGCGAAGACGAAGCCUGCUGGCAGGGUUAGAACGUGCUCGUUUUCCUCUGCCUCCCAACUGCUGCAACGACGUCCUUGUAGUACAACUGCAUACACAAUGCAGUGAGCUAUUACAGAUAUGUUUCACUUGUAACGGGAUCGACGACGCUGCUCCAAAGAGAUAUAUGGUGGGGGUGCCGUGCCAGAUCCUGCAUGGCAGUCUGGUCGACCGCAUGCGUGUACCAGGCCAGGACUCCUACAGUCCUAUGCACGCAUGCAUCACGUUUGCCAGGACAAAAUUUGAACCAGCGAAAAUCUGAUUCAGCUCGCCUGGUUUCAAACUGACACCUCCGAAGGCGGAACUGUCUUCAUUCCAUGCAUCGAUCAAUGGAAGGUAACAAUGCACUGGUGCAUGACACACCGUACAUUACAACGUCUACGCUCCAAAACUUCUCCAUGAUCACACUUUCAUAUCUUUCAACAAAAGGUAGCUGUGUAAGGAGUAGGUAACAAUGCACUCUUCGCAAAAAAAAAAAAAGGUAACAAUGCAGGCCAGCAAGAGGAAACUCGAAACAAGCAUCCACACACAACAGGAAAACAGUCACAGCUACACUUGUCUACAGAUCGAGGAGUUAACCGCGACAGCCUGAUAAUCUGAUGGCUGUUUUAUUUAGGCUCACUAUCAGAAAUCACAACAAUGAUUUCUUGAAUAAAUAAUAGCUCGCUGCAGUCCUAUACAUAAACAACCCUGCUAUGCUUCAUAUUACUCUGUAUAUUUCAGAUCCUUGUAUACCUCCUACAGAAACAGGUCCACAGUUGGGGCCAUUAGCUUCCUAUACAAACACAUUCUUUUGUAUUUGUGGGGAAACUCCACAACGACGGGCGCGCUUCUCUGUGGGCGGUACGUCACCAAACAUCUCUCAAGUAUCUCCCUUCCGUCUGUAGGCUCUUCACGUAGCUUUCUGUCUUUGAGUUAUCCAGUGACCCCUGCAGAGCACAUCCAGGGUAGCAGCAUUCACGGUAAAUAGAAGCACUGUACUGUACUUGUUGUGAAGCAAUGGCAGUAGCAAAGAUUUAUCAUGGUGUUACGCAACAAAAUUCAAGCAAGUAAGGUAACCUGGAACUUCACUGCAUUUGAGUCAACAACACCAAAAAAAUGCACUUUAAGAGGCUAGGGGGGCUUAACUGACAGAUGGUCAGCAAAUGAGUUGGCACUACUCAGAGCAAACGGGAUCUCAGGAUUGUUUUUUAAUAAAAAAAUAAUUGGCCAGAAACCACAGCUUUCUGCAUGAUUUGAUUAUCCUUGUUUUGAUGUUACUUUCAAGAAAGACACAUGGACAAGGGGAAAAAUAUCAAUAAAAAAUCCCUACGCAUGUUAAGUGAAAGACUAAAGAUCAUACUUAGUUAUUCUUAGAAACCAAGAGUAACAUGGUAGACCUAAACACAGCAAAACUCUGAUAUUAAUAUGCUGAAAGUAGUCGGCCAUGCUGUUUGGUGGUGGUUUCAAAAGCUUGAGUACCAGAGUGAGCAAUCUAGCUGUCCACUUCUUAGACCCUUGGUAAAGCAACUACUCCCUCCGUUCCAAAUUGUAGGUCGUUUUGAUUUUUAUAGGUGCAUAGCUUUUGCUAUGCACCUAGAUAUAGUGUAUGUCUAGAUGCAUAAUAAUAUCUAUGAAUCUAGAAAAAGUCAAAACGAUCUGCAGUUUGAAAAGGAGGGAGUAACUAAAUCUAGAAAGCAUCAGGUGACAGUGAUACAAUGACAAACUUUGUAAAACUAGACAUACCUGCUCCUGGAUGAUGGUAUGUAGUGUGCGGUGCACAUCUCUAGCCAUGCCCUUUGCAUCACCACAGACAUAAAUAUAACCGCCCUGAGAAAUGAUGCUCCAAAGCACGCCAGCCUGGGAAGAUUACAGGAAUUGUGAGAAAAGGGGGAAGUAUUCUAGGUCCUUGCUUUUAUUUCGUUGGGACUUAAUGUCCUUGUAAACCAGCUGUAUAUAUUCUUUUUUCUAUUUAUAUAAUAUGAAAAGAUCAUGCUGCGGGAAACUCUCCCACAAUUUCCAGUCAAUAGUAUUCUUUUGAACAAAACAUGAUUCUGCAGUGGACAAUCAGUUUACCUUUUGUGCCAUUUUGUGCUGAACAUACUCUUUUGUAGGACCCUCACGAGAAAAGGCUACAAUCAACUCAGAAAGGGCACCAGUAUCAACAAAGUUACUAAGCUCAUCCUCAUAUAUGAAGUCCUGAAAAAAAAAGACAUGAAUCAGUGAAAUUUUGAAGAGGCUACAAAGUACAUCCAAGUUGAACAUGUAAGAUCUGCAUCUCUGUAUGCAACAGAAAUGCGAAACAUUCUUGGCAGAUAAGGAGCUUUGAUAGAGGAAUAAUUAGAUGGCAGCUAGGUGUUUUCUAAGCAAGAAGUGAGACUGAAAAAUUUCAGCAAAUUAUGGACUUAUGCGAGCUAAUUGUUGACGAGGAUGAAUAAUGUUGAAACACAACCAUACCAUCUUCCGAUUUCUGCACCCAAAGAAAAGGAUAGCAGGGCCUAGUUCCACCCCUGCCUCUUUUAAAGCUAAUCGUUCCUGCCAGUGCAAAAAAGAACAUCGGACAUGCACAUAAAAAUAUUAAAGAGAGACAUAAUUUGAAGAACAAUGAACAACGACAGCUUAAGACAAAAACAAACCUGUAAGAAGCCUCUGAAAGGUGCCAGACCAGUCCCAGGGCCAACCAUUACAAUGGGCACAGUAGGAUCAGCAGGCAGUUUGAAGUUUGACUGCCUAACAAAAAUUGGUGCCCAACUACAUUCUUGGCUCUCUUCCAAGGUAGUUGAAUGCUGUAAGUAGGAUUAGCAGACCAAAUGUUUAAUGGAUGACAUGAUGAGUGAUAAAUAACUUACAGGAAUUAAAUAAUAUAUGCUUGAAUACAUGCAUAUAGUUAUACUGAAAAUAGUAUAUCCUCAGUUUCAAGAUUCACCUCAGACGAAAGAGAAGAAAAUGUCUUCUAAACAUGAAAGAAUAGAUAACAUGUACCUUCAUCCAAGUAGAACAAACUCCUUUGUGGAUUCUUCCAGUAGGGGUUGGCCCAUAUACUAGUGCACAUGUCACAUGAAUCCUUGUUGGUGCCAUUCUGCAGCGAUAUAUUAGCAUCAGUCCUAACUGAUCGAUCAACUUGCUCAGGUCAAACGAGGUAUUAUAUAGAAGUAAAGGCCUAAUGGGUACCUCGGUGAGGAAGAAAUAGAGUAAUAUCUCGGCUGCAGGCGAGGAGAAAUAGCUGCAAAGAAGACACCAAGUGGAGGCUUUGCUGACGGGAACUCCGACAUAACUUCUAAGAGACUUCUUUGGCUCGUGACUAUCCAUUGUGAAUACUCCUUCUGCCAAUGAAAGUCAUGUGAGAAAUUGUGAAUUAGAACACCAACAUCAUAAAGUAUAUUGAUCUAUUUUAGAAACCAACCUUUCCAGCAGGAGAUGCAAGGUGUCUAAGCCGCUCAGCUUCUUUGGGAUCAGAUGCAUGAGCAGCCAAAGCGAGCAAAGCACUCUGCAGCAACCAUUGAGAAAAUAAUAUGAAUGUGAACAAAAACAUCAUAUAGAUAUGGAUGAAAAGAAAAACACAAGUUUACCUUCUUGGGCGAAUUCAAUAGAUCUGCAUAUCUGGUAAGUGCAGUCCUGACUGUGCAGGGGGAUGGGAAAGGAGGUGGCAAAGAACCCCCACAAAGCGGGGUACCAUCCUCUUGGUCAGCAUAAAUUGAGAAUAAAGUAUCUGGUGAAUAACCUAGAAGCUUUUCUGCCUCUUCGACAAUUUCAAUGCAGUUUUCAGCAUAGACACCAACAUGAUCUCCAGUCUCAUAUCUAGUAAGGUAAAAGGGAACUGUCAGAAUAAUGCAUUCUGAAGUCCAAUCUAACAAUAAUGUAUGUCUACUCUCUACUCUUAUUUUCAUGAAUCCAGUUUAUUGAAUAUACUUACUUGAGUCCAGUUCCAGCAAUAUCAAAUUCCAAAUGAAUGCAGGAUCUGUCAGAAGCUGGUGUGUGAAGCUCUCGCCGCACAGCCACAUUUGCCCUGAAAGAUAAGCAGAUUGGUAUCAGCUCACACUGCAGGCAGAGCAAAACUUCCAGGCAUAUGUAAGUAAACUAAAAAAUAAAAAAAAUACCUGCAAGGAUGUUGAAUGUCAUAGACAGCAUGACCGUUACUAAGACUAAAUGACUUGUUAAUGUUUGUGGUAUCUUCUUGUUUAACAAACAGAACUCUAUAUUCUGGAAUAGCAGCUGUGUAAGGAGUUGCUGCUGCUGAAGAGUUGUCUUCCUGGCGGAGCAAUUUAUCCAAUUCUGGCCAUAGAAGUUCCUUCCUUUAAUCGAAGGAAACAACAGAAGGCAUUAGCUUCAAUGUGUAAGUGUUAGUCUACUGUUGAAACCAAAGUUAAGUGUCCUCGAAUAAAAGCACUAUACGCAAGAUAAGCCUGAUGAAUCAUCAGAAAAGAAAAGAAAAAAGCACCCAUGAAAGUAAGUUCAUUGGAAUUCAUACCACGCAUUAAAGUCAUCCUCAAUGCAUUGGUCGUCAUCUCCAAGACCAACAGGAACAAUACGUUUGCCACCUAGAAUAGAUGUGUAAAUGGACAGGAGUUAAUUACACUCAAGUGUUUCAAGAACAUAAGAAAACUGGGAAAAGCAUAACACAGGAUAUAUGACACAGAAGAUCCGAUGCACCUCACUCAAAAAUUAAUAUUGUGAAACAGUUGCUUGGUCCUUUCUAAAAAUAAGGGUCAAUUUGGCUUAUUUAUAUAAAGUUUGAAAGUUUGGCUCAGGCAGCAAAAAAUUGAUAGCAUUCAACUCUUUAAGCAUUUGAGCAUUAUUACCACAACACUAAUAGAAAACGCAAUGUGUUUACAGUGCAAAUGUGUGUGCGCAUAUGUAAAUAAGAUAAGGUGCAACACUUAAUAUGCAUUCUAAAAGAAAAAGUUCUGCCUAUGAAGGAGUAGCGUUCAGAGAUUUUCAGUGAGAACAAACAUAAAUGCUGCAUGCAAAAUCAAAAGCUUCAAAUCCAUCUGAAUUGAGAUUGAAUCAGUGAUGUGGCCGCUCUAAUUUAGUUACCUUGUUCUGCAAGGAGCUGAUCAACCAUCUUUCCAAUCUUCAGUGGAGACAAAAUGACAAAAAAAGAACAAAAUUAGUAUGCGCUGUACAAACAAAUAGACACAUCCAAUCAAUGUAGACGCACCAACAAACCUUGUUAAAGUGCUCGUACUGUCUAUUUCCAAGGCCAAACACCCCAAACUGAAGAUUGCUCAACCACUCACCUCUCUCAUUCCCCUGCAGACCAACCAGAUCAAGAGGCAAUCAAUAAUCAAUAAAAGGAAAAAGGACACAUACACAGGUGCAUCCAUAAAAGUAAGCUUGCAGUCCAACCUCCGAGAACCAUUUAUAAAACCUUGCUGCAUUGUCAGUUGGCUCGCCGUCACCAUAGCUACAAAAAGCAGCAAGAAGACAUGCUAACAAUUAACACAAAACGUACUUUCUCCUGGCUUUGAUCGACUUAGUAAGGUGGUGGCAAUUCUUACGUUGCCAGGAAGAACAAUGCAAUGCUCUCCUUCUUGAGCUUCUCUCCGUACUCCUCAUCCUCAGCGGCGUAAUCAUCCUAAACCCCAGUGAAGCACACAUCAAUUAUAACAGAUAAGCUGCCAUAAACAUGAAAUUUUAAGCAGCAGCAUGAGGAUGGAAUCAGUCGAGCGUACCAGAUCGACCACCUUGAAGACGGCCCUGUCGUACCUCGCCUUGGCCUCCUCCGCGAGAGCCUGCAAAUCCACGCCGAAAGUGGCAUCAAUUUCAACCCAAUCAGAAGUGGGAAACAACAGCAGAGCGCCGAGCUCUGCUUGUGCCAAAAAAAAAGAACACGAAUCAGUAGUAACCUUGGCGAAGCCCUCGGCGGUGCCGGUCUGCGUCCCGAAGAAGACGGUGACCCUCUGCCUGCCGUCGUCGGGGUCCGGCUCGUCCUUGGGCUUCGCGGCGAGGGGCCGCGUCUGCGCCUGGGCGGCGGCGGCCGAGGCGGCGCGGGGCGCGGCGGCGGAGCGGCGGACGAGCAGGGCGACGCCGCAGCCGACGAGCACGGCGAGGGAGGUGGUGAGCAGGACGAGCAGGUGGCGGUCCUCGGCGAGCGAGGACGCCCAGUGCGGCCCCCGCCCCGUCAGCAGCGCCGCCAGCAGGUCCAGCGCCGAGGGCUUCAGCCCCGCCGACGCCGAGUCCAUCGCGCCGAGGCGGGGGUGCGGAGCGAGCGAGCGAGUCGCGAGCCGGGGGGGCGGCUGUCCGCUUCGAUAGGAUCGAGGCGGUGGAGAUGCGCGCACGCGAGGAGGGCCACGGCCACAGAGAUUUGCUGCUGUUGAGUCGAGACAGCGGCCGCCGGCCGGGCACGGGGGAACUUUUAUGUGGCGCGGCCGGCGUGUGCAGGCUGCCGCGGCCGCGAGCCGGGACCCGGACCGGGAACGAGUGACCGAGGCGGGGUGCCGGCGCGCGCGGGCGUUUCCUUUCCUCGUGCCCUUGGUCUGCGGUGACGCGCGAUCGGGGCCAAAAAGGACUUGGGGUUGGGGUUUGGUUGGCGGCGAGUAGGGACCCGCGGUGCCGGUGGCUCUGCCUUUCCCUGCCGGGGUUGGUUUGGCUCGCGUUGUGGCUGUCGUGAGGCCACCGGUCUCUGUGCCCGAAUCGGGGCCGCCGCGCGGUGACACGUCGAGCCGAGCCAAAGUCCGUCGCGGCCGUCACAUUGGCUUCGAUUCGAUGCCCCCCCCACCACUUUCCAUCUGGUGAUCUUCCGCAAGCUCCCGGUUUCUGUCGCCCUCCCUUCUCUCUCGCUUUCGAACCAUAGCGACGACUGGAAGCGUGUAGGCUUGUCGCUCUGAAGUCUGAACCAUCACCAGAAACAGUAAAGCCGGGGCUCAGCGUCUGACUUGGACACAUGGGGGUUGUGAGUGUUUCUCCCUGCAAGGAGACUUGCCACUUGUGCGCGGCAAAAAUUGACUGGCGCCUGCCGUGCACCAAAUCGGUAUCAGGAGAUGUGGUGUGUGUGUGUGUGUGUGGGGGGGGGGGGGGGGGGGGGGGGGGUGCGGAAAACUCCAGAACGGGCGACGAGACUGGGUGGAGGACGACGUCGAUGUCCGCGACGAUUGCGUGCUAGGGCUGCAGCCUGCAGCUCCAUGUCUGCUUCGACCGUGCCACGGAAGCUGCGAUCACGAGUUCUGACUUUUGAUGCACGUCCGUCCAGACAUGUUCGGUUGCAUGGGCAUCCAAUGGCUCGAGCUCGUCAGUUCUGGCUGCUCCUUCGGCACCAUUUUUCUGGGCAUGCAAUGCAACCGCUCAGUUGGAAAGUUGGUCUGAUCUCUCUCCUCUCCUCCUCCUUCUGGACAGGAAUUUGGCCUGAUCUCAAUCAGACAAUAGCACCGUUUUUCUGCUGCCUCGUCAGACUGUGAGGAAGGGGAGGCUGUAACCUGGACUGGGCCGAAUUCAACUUGGGCAAUGAUGUGCAAAUUAGGCCGUGGCCCAGUUUAUCUCGUUCAUUCGAAAAUUCAAUCUGUUUCCGUAGGUGGUGAAUUUGCGUGUCUUUAGUUUGUGUUCUCUGAAAUGAAGAGCUUGCAAGCCAUACUGCUCGGUUGGGCAUGGAGGCUUCUUCUGCUCCUCCUAUAAUGAUAUAAACUAUGUAUAGACUUCAUGGUGGACAGCGAGUACGCUGUUUGGUCUCGGUAAUUCCUGUUUUAAAAAAUUGUGGAAAUUUGUGCAGUUCUAGUGCAGGCCUGCAGGGGAACUUGUUACUGAUUACUGUUGCUGAAACAGUUUUGGAUGCUAAACCAGGCAACAUUUUUCUUUCACAAAUUGAUUUUUUUCCACCAAAUUAAGCUCCCUAGGAUAGACAUUAUUGGACACUGCCACGGUGAACAGAAUCAGCCUGCGCCAUGACCUCGGCCAUACCGUCCUCAAACUGUCAAACACUCAAAAACCCUUCACGAGCUCUGCUCAUCGGAGUGCUUUCGCGUCACCCCCGUGCGCGCCGCGAGCUUCUCCCAGUACUCCGCGAGCAUCUCGGCGGCAGAGCCGGCGCCGGCCGCGCCGGUGCGGAGGCAGAGGUACGGUCCUCCCUCUCCUGCUCCGCGCAGCGGUGCAGCCGCUCGAGCGACGCCCCGGACGUACUCUCAUAGCUCGUGAUUGGCCCCGUCGCGCUCCCGGUCCAGGUAGUAUGCGUUGGCGUAGCGGUUGCACUGGUAGAGGACGUCGCCCGUGUGCUUGUCCCACGGGACGAGGCAGAGCCAGCAGAACUGCUGUCCGCAGGGGUCCGGGCACGUCACGCGCAUGCACCCCUGGUACUUCUUGAUCGGGGCUCCCACACCUGGGUCAGGGCUUCGUGUUGGCCACCAGCCAGUUGGCGGCCUCCCAGUCGGAGCGGCGCUUGGCCAUCGCAGGACGCCGGCCAGUGCGCCUCCACGCCGCUUCGGAAGAAGAAGAUCGGGCUCCUGCAGGUGCAAACGACCACCUCAUGGAGGUACCAGGUACGAGCCGGCAAGGGCGCACCCGGGCCCGGGGCACCAACGGAUGUCCUCGACGUACCAACGGGUGUUUGCGUUUAUGCACGGGAAAAUGUUGUUUCAGCUACUAGCACAGUUGGUGCGCUAAGAGUUUGCAAGUUCGAAUUCAUUACACAAAGAUCUAGUCGCACUUUAUGAUAGCCAAAUGCGUGCAUAUAGCAUACAAAUUUAUGCUAUUUGACUCUGGAAGAGACGAAACAUAUGAAACAUUUUCACUGACAGGAAGAACUCAUUCGCAGAUAAAAGGAACACAGCACUUGAACCCCUACACACGAUCACGACACGACCUCGGCCAUGCCGGAUUCAAACCCCUCCACGAGUUUGCUGAAGUGGCUCCGUGUCACAAGUGUCAGGUUACAGAGCUUCUGCCUGAACUCCGCGAACCUCACGGCGGCGUGCCUAGUGGCAGAGACGAAGUUGCGCUCGGCGCAGAGGUGAAGCACCUCCAGCGACCUCUCGGCCUCGCCCUGGAGGUACUCGCACAGCUCGCGCUUGGCCCUGUCGCGCUCCGGUUGCAGGUAGUACACGUAUGCGUACGUCCACCUCAGCACCCGCCGCGCCUCGACGAUCUGCGCGUGCGCAUCCAGGAGGAAGCCCAGCUCCGUCGGCGGCACGCCGAUGGCGUCGGCGAGCUCGUCCAGCCCGCUGCCCUCCAGAGCGUCCAGGUCCUGCCGCGCCUUCCUCAUCGAUGCGCCAUGCUCCGUCCAGCGUUCGUAGUAGUGCAAGUACCUCUCGAGCGACGCCCUGGCCUGCUCCCGCUGCGUCUCCUCCUCAGCGAACUCCGACUCGCCAUCGCCCGCCGGGUAGCGGUUGCAAUACCGCAUGAUAUUAGCCUUUAAUACCGGUUAGUUUUCGACCCGGUAUUAAUAUGAGCAUUAGUAUCAGACUAACGCCAUUAGUCCCUGUGAUCUCCUUUAGUACCGGUACCAGCUCGGUUUCAUCCAUUCAUAGUGAAGUAGAGGAGGUGCUGCCGGAUUUUUGACCAUUUCGUGAGGAUUUCACUCAUUCAAGUGUUCUAAAGGUUAGAAACUUCAUCCUCCUUUAAUAUACGGUUAGUGUACUAAGUUUUAUGCUUUAGAGCUUGACUGUUAUAGUUACCCAGGUACCCUCAUGGAGGCCUAGCCGACUACUAAUGGCCCGACUCGACUUGAUGAAGAAGGCAUGAGAUAGAGUUCGGCUAGGGCUCUUCACGUAUUGUAAUUUGACUAAUCUCAUCUAUACUAACCGAUUAGGGGUCCUGAUAUGUAACCCUACCCCUCGAAGUAUAUAAGGGGAGGUAGGGGUACCCCUAGGAGGGGGACCGAUCCAAUCCCUCAACACACCAACCAACACUCAAACGCAGGGUGCAAAACAAUCCCCAAAACAGGACGUAGGGUAUUACGCUACACUGGCGGCCCGAACCUGUAUAAAUUUUUGUGUCUUGUGCCUUGCGUUGCCAUCAAGUUUAUGGUUUUGUGAUCCUUCCUGCGUACAAAUCUACCACUUUACCACUUAGGUAACCCCCUGGUGGACUGUCGGGCUACUAAAUCCGAUAGUUGGCACACUAGGUAGAGGUGAUCGUGAGGUCCUCCUCAGCGAAUUUGAUGGCAGUCAUUCAAAAUCUGGGUGAGUUGUUCUCAAUAUCGUUAUCAGAUCAAUCUGAUUUUUGAGAAGCUAAUCAUGUAUUGAUCUUUUAUUUCUAAUAUGUACGUGCUGACCGAGCGUCGCCUGGCAUCGCGUGUCAUUAGCAACGGCCUCACAGCCACUACAUGCCCAAGACGGGGCAACUACCACGGCUGCCGCCAACACGCUCUCUGCGAUCAUAGUUGUUGCUCUAGCUGUACUCAUCUGCACCCAGGCUGCCGCCGGCCAUGAUUCUAUCUGCAUCGACUUGACAAGCACAUGAAGGGUGCGGCUGGAUUCCUAUGUCCCUGCUUCCUGGCGUUGACUCCAUGUUUGCCUGCAUGCAGCUAAGAAGAAUCAAUCUACAGGAAGUACACGUGAAUAGGGAAAUAAUCUUUCUAUUAUUUUUCUUCUUCGUAUAAUAUAUCAUGCUCCUUCGUGUGAUUGGCCGAUGAUAUUUGUUCUAAUAUGUUAUUUAUUAUCUCACCUGAUGCAUAUCCGUGGUCUUCCGUAAUCCGCAUAUCCAUGGUCUUCCAUAAUCUGUAUGGCUAACUUGCCGAGCACCCAACGACGGAUCGUGUGGGUCAGAGCUCAUGCGAGUCCACUGCGCUUGGCGGCAGCUUCGACGAGCUAACGAUGAUGCCACGCACUAGUUACGGUCAACGUCGUCGACACGUCGCCAACUAAUUCAACCACUCGAAUCCGGCAUGAUAGUUGGGGGUGAAUCCUGAUUAGUUUGCUUCAUCAACAACUGUCCGUCAACCACUACGAUCAAGAUGACGGUCGGGGCUUCUAAGCCUAAACGCGAAGAUGACACGCGGGUUCUCUGACUCGAUCACGAAUCAAGCUAAGUCUUAUUUACAGUUAAAUAUUUUACGACUUCAGUAUACCUACAUACGCCUCGACUCCUCCAUGUCUCCGUGACUUUCACCGACCACCUCGGCUCCUCUACGUCUCUGUAACUUUCGCCGACCACCUUGGUCGCACCCUGACUGCUUAUACAGCUUGGUCCGUCCACCACACGGGCAGUUAGGAGUUACACCCCACGGAGCUCAUGCUGGUGCUUUUCCGCACAGUUCCGACUGCUAUGUAGCUUGUCCGUCCCUCUGAAUGGUUGCUAAAAUACUUGGGUAGCACACGCCUUAAUCCGUGAAGCCUGACCCUCAUGUGUCGCUUCCUACUAAGCACGCUCGAGUCCACUCGGCAACACCCCGGCAGAGUCAGGUGCUUAAACGUAACGGGCUAACUACUCGGGAAAAUUACCUGGCCUAUAAGAGCAGGACGUGCAAGAGUUUACUUUUACGCUGAUUAAACGUCCAAGUUAUUCAAUCAUUAAAUAUUCUACAUUAUGCUACAUAAUGUUUGCAUUGUCCUUUUACAGUUCAGAACUACUCGGCGUGCCUCCUUUUACAGUUCAGAAACUACUCGGCGUGCCUCCUGCCGCUCGGCCGACCUCCCAGACUUGGGGGCUUGGGGCAGGAGGCGACUUGGCGUGCUUCCGUGGUUCGGUCGGCUCCCAACCUCAGGGGCUGGGCGACAGAGGCGACUCGGCGUGCUUCCGUGGCUCGGUCAGCCCCCGGCUCGGGGGUUGGGCGCCACAAUCUCCCUAGCUUAGGGCGGGAAGCGACUCGGUGCGCUUCCUCGACUUGGCCGGCUCCCAGGCUUGGGGGCUGGGUGCCACAGACGACUCGGUUUGCCUCAUGUUGUUCAACCGACCUCUCUAGCUUGGGGUAGGAGGUGACUCGGUGUACUUCCACGACUCGCCCGGCUCCCAGGUUCGGGGGUUGGAUGCUAUAGAUGACUCGGCGUGCCUCCUGCCACCAGACCGACCUCCCAAGCUCAGAGGAUGGGUGCGGGAGGUGACUCAGCGUGCCUCCGUUGCUUCUCCAGUCCUCGCGCUCGGGGGCUGGACGCCUACUUUGGGUCGGCGUGCUUCCGUGGCUCCGCUAGUCCUCGUGCUCGGGGGCUUGGAGGCUGCACUUGAUGUGCAUCCAUGAUGUUUCACAAGACAAAGACUAUAAGAUCAAGGAUUUUUCUUUGAGUACUGCGCAGCUUCUCAGCAACCAGACGAUGAAAGCACUCGGGCGAAGCUUAUCCAACUCGGCAUUUGUGUUGGGCUACCGUUCAGCUCCACACCGCUCGGGGGCUUAAUGGUUAUUGAUACCCGGGUACCCUCAUGGAGGGCCUAGCCGACCAUUAAUGGGCCGGUCCGACUUGAUAAAGAAGGCAGGAUAGAGAGUCCGGUUAGGGCUCCUCACGUGUUGUAAUCCGACUAGAUCUCAUCUAUACUAACCGACUAGGGAUCCUGCCAUGUAACCCUACCCCUUGAAGUGUAUAAGGGGAGGUAGGAGUACCCCUAGGAGGGGAACCGAUCCAAUCCCUCAACACACCAACCAACACCCAAACGCAGGGUGCAAAACAAUCCCCAAAACAGGACGUAGGGUAUUACACUGGCGGUCCGAACUUGUAUAAAUCUUUGUGUCUUGUGCCUUGCGUUACCAUCAAGUUCAUGGUCUUAUUAUCCUCCCUCCCUAUAAAUCUACCACUUGGGUAACCCCCUGGUGGACUGUCAGGCUACUAAAUCCAACAGAGCUAGAGUAAUUUGUGAUUUUUAGAAUAAGGUACAAUGGAGAAAAUUUUCAUUUAUAUGCAUGUGUUAUCUAGGGCUCAUAUUUGUGAUUUUUAGAAUAAGCUACACUUUUUUGGAUGUUAUGGUUUGUAUAGUUAAAGAAAUUGAUAUGAGGUUAGAGGAAUAAUUUUAUAGUUUAGUCCUUUACAAAUAUGAGCUAAAUAAAUUAUGGGAAAAAAUAUAAUUUGUUCAUAUUUUAGUCAUUUGCAAAUAUGAUUGAGAUAAAUUAUGGUACAUAGAGAUAAUAAGAUGGAAUAGAGGUAUGUAAUUAGGCAAUUUUUAGAAUAAGUUACAAUGGAGAAGUUUUUUCAUUUAUAUGUUAUGUUUGAGCUAAAUAAAUUGUGGGAAAAGUAUAAUUUGUUCAUAGUUUAGCCAUUUGCAAAUAUGAGCGAAACAAAUUAUGGUACAUAGAGAUGGCUGUUGCUGCUGGAGGUAGUGGUGAUGGUGGGGGCGAUCGUCGUUUCUCUCGCGGCAAGGGGAAAACCAUAGUUGGUCCUCAUGAUAAGCUGGAGAAAAUGAGCAUGUGGGAGAGAACAAUGCUUCGUUAUUUGCAAAUAUAUCAUGAAGAUGUUGUUGCGUUGUGUCAGGAAUCUCCUUUUGGUGGUCGUUAUGCUCCACCGCUAGUCCCGAGGGUUUUAAGUCCACUGAGUACUACCGUCGCAGGAGGCACAAAUAAAGUACAGGAUAAGGCUGGGUCAGGAAAACCUUCAUCUUCGCCACCCAAGGAUGCUUAAAGUCCUCCUAGAUGGUACUCAGUGGAUGGUUUGUCAUACUGUAUCAUGUUGUUUGGAUCUGAAAUUUAAAUUUCUGUAUUUCUAUCUAAACUUUCAGCAACAUUUGAGUUUGUCGUAGUGUAUCAUGUUGUUUGGGUCUAAAAUUUAAAUUUAUGUAUUUCUAUCUAAGCUUUCAUCAACAUUUGAGUUUAAUGGUAUUUGUAUCAUGUUUGUUAUGUUUCAUGUAUAAUUCUAUGGAUGAUCAGCAUAUCUUUGGUUCGGUAAUACUUUGUAGAUGGAUCGGCAAUAGAUGUACAACGCGGACAAACACUCCAUGGAGUAUAUUAAUGGCUUGCAUGGUUUUCUCGAUCUGGCAGAGUCCAACAAGCUACCGUCUGGUUUCAUCUAUUGUCCAUGCCGAAUUUGCAAAAGUGAGAAGGAUUAGUCAUCCAGAAAGACUAUUCAAGUCCACAUAUACAGUUCGGGAUUCAUGCCUAACUAUUUUGUUUCGACUAAGUAUAGGGAAAGAGGAGUUGUGAUGGAAGAUGAUGAUGAUGAAGAAGAUGGUAACUACAUUCCUGACUGUACUCAAGGAGGUACCUUUGCAGAUGCUGCAAUGGGUGAGGCUAAAGAAGAGAUGGUUGCAGAAGAAGGUCCAACCGAUGAUCCAGGUCAGGUGUUGCGAGAUGCAAAGGAAGACUGCGAGAAUGUGAAGGAGUCAAAAAAGUUCGAGCGUAUGUUAGAUGAUCAUAAGAAAUUAUUGUACCCAGAUUGCAAACAGGGGCACAAAAAGUUGGUACCACACUGGAAAAGUUGGUACCACAAGAGUUUUGAUGAGUUAAUGAAAAUCAUAAAGAACAUACUUCCCGAGGUUUGUUGGUACCACACUGGAAAAGUUGGUACCACAAGAGUUUUGAUGAGUUAAUAAAAAUCAUAAAGAACAUACUUUCUGAGGGGAACGAAUUGCCAUCCUCCACGUACAAAGCAGAAAAAGGUUGUUUGCCUUCUAGGUUUGGAGGUACAAAAAAUACAUGCAUAUUUUAAUGACUGUAUCCUCUAUUGCGGUGAGGAAUACGGGAAAUUGGAGGCUUGUCCUGUGUGCGAAGCACUACAUUAUAAGAUCAGGCGAGAUGAUCCCGAUGAUGUUGAGGGUCAGGCCAGCAAGAAGAAAGUUCCUGCGAAAGUAAUGUGGUAUUUUCUUGUAGUACCACACUUGAAGCGUUUGUUCAGAAACAAGACACAUGCAAAGUUAAUGCGUUGGUACAAAGAAGAACGUAAGUAAGAUGAAAUGAUCAGACACCUCGUUGAUGGGUCCCAGCGGGGAACAGUUGACAUAGAAUUUUCCAAGUUUGAAAAGGAUGUAAGGAACAUAUGGUUUGGUUUAAGUACAGAUGGAUUCAAUCUAUUCGGUGAGUUCAGUAGUGGUCAUAGCACUUGGCCUGUAACCUUAUGUAUGUUCAAUCUUCCGUCCUGGAUCUGCAUGAAGCGGAAGUUCAUUAUGAUGCCAGUAAUUAUCCAAGACCCAAAACAACAUGGCAACAAUAUUGAUGUUUACCUAAGAUCGUUGUGUAUGAAUUUUUACUGUUAUGGAAGGAAGAAGGAGUACGUGUGUGGGAUGAGGAUAAAAAGGAGACUUUUAAUCUACGAGCAUUGUUGUUCGUAACCAUCAAUGAUUGAUCGGCACUUGGUAAUCUGUCCAGACAGACAAACAAGGGAUAUCGAACCUGCACGCACUGUUUAGAUGAUACUUGUAGCAUAUAUUUGAAACACUGUAGGAAAAUCAUGUAUACAGGCCAUCAUCAAUUUCUUCCUGCUAAGCACCCAAUGUGAUGUACUUGAAGCAUAUUUUGGGAGCUACCUUUUUGGAAAGUCUUUGAGGUCUAUAAUGCAAUCGAUGUGAUGCACCUGACGAAAAAAAUUUGCGUAACAUGCUUGGCUUUCUAGGUACAUAUGGAAAGGCAAAGAUACAAUUGAAGCACGUUGGGACCUGAAACGUAUGAAACAACGAGAUGGUCUACAUCCGGAAAAGAGAGAUGAUGCACAUUACUUGCAUCCUGCCAGUUACACUCUCAGAAAGGAAGAGACGGAAAGCAUGUUUGAGUGAUUGAAUAGUAUGAAGGUCCCAUCGAGCUACUCCUCGAAUAUACAGAGAAUAAUAAAUUUUUACAUGGUCAAAAUAUCUAUUUUUUCUAAUUUUAAAGUUAACAUAAGUAUUAUAAGUAUUAUGACCAUUAUAACAUACUACUAAGUUAAAAUUAAUAACUUUCCUAAUAUUUGACUGAAUCUAAUAUUUUUAUAGCAUCAAGCUAACAAAUUGUUUUUCAAUUUUUAUAAAUAUAAUUUGAUUUACUACACAAUAAAUUAAUAUAAUAGCAUUUGUAAAAAAACAAAAUAAAAAGAUGUUUAGGCAGGAAGCCAGAACAGUGGGCUACAAACACCUUUAGUACCGGGUGAUAAAAAUACCCGGUACUAAAGGAGGACAGUUUCGUUUUGGCACGCUCUGACGCGCUCCUCCUCCCCCGACCCAGUGCCGCCAUCUCUGCCGCGCCGCCCGUCCGCCCCCAGCGCCAUCUCUGCUGCGCCGCCGCCGAACUCGGCAGCCCCAACCCGUCGGCGACCGUACUGGGCCCCGCCAGCACUCCUCCCUAGCGGCCGCCCGAGAUAUUGCACGCGGCCACGGGCUCGUCGUCUGGUCCGCUGACGUAAGCCCGCGGCCGUGCUGACGUCAUUUUUUUCUUUUUAUUUCUUUUUAAUUCUAUGAUUUAGGAAUAAGUUAAAAUAGCUAGAAAUUAUAGAAAAAUUAUUAAAAUAGCGAGAAAUUAUAGAAAAAAUGUUAAUUAUUAGUAUGGAAAUGGUGAUAUAGAAAUUGUGUUAUGAAAAUUAGAAAAUUUAUAAAUAGCGCUAGGAAAUUAGUAUACAUUAUUGCCUUGCAUUGUUUUAUUAUAACAAAUUGUAUAAAUAUUAGUCAUUCUUUUUUAUUGUUAUUUAUUGUAACAAAUUGUAUUAGUCAUUUAUUUUUUUAAAAUGUAUAAGUUUUAGCCAUUCUUCUUUGUAGUCAAUUAUUGUUACAAAAUGUAUAAAUAGUAGUCAUUAAUUCCGUAGUCAAUUAUUGUUACAAAAUGUAUAAGUUUUAUUUAGUCAUUCUUUUUUGUUGUCAUUUACUAGCAAUUCACAGUAAAUAUUGUUGUAGUCUUCACAGUAAAUCAAUACACCGACCUCAUAGACAAGCUUAACAAAGCAUGGGCUCACUUCCGACAACAUCACUCAGGUGAAUUCGAGGAGCAACUUCAUAUCCACUCAGAAUUUCAGGUAUGUAUUGAAUUUGCACAUCUCAUGUCACUUCCUUGAACACAACAAAUAUUUCAUAACUUUUUUUCCCAUAUAUAUAGUGUUUGAGACAGAAUACAGGGAAUUAUUUAUGCGGAUACUAAGUAUGUGAGUUCAUCCAUAGUUUUGUAGGUCCCAAGCGUAUGACCGACCACGAAUUCAGAGUACGUAUACAAAUUUCUUAACAAUAAAUUAGUUCUAAUUGUGUAGAUCUAUUGAUCUAAUAUAAUAACCUUUGCUAAUGACAUAGAUUAUGCACAUGAAAGAAGAACUCCUCGAAACGGAAAAAAUCAGGGCAAUUUAAGAACAACUCAGUGGAUUUGUUUCUAACGAGGUAGUAAAUCCAGCGGGAGAGUUCUAUAAUAAUGGAUCAAAUCUGCAUCACCGUCAGGACUCGGGUUCAGAAUAGUUGAUCCAAAAUGUUAAACUUGGAGAGUUGAUACAAUAUAAUAUUAUUCAUAUAUGUGUAUGUACAAUAUGUCUAUGUAUAAUAUUAUCUCAAAUGUAAUAUUAUAGAUCAAAUAUGGAUUGCCGUAGACGCAGGAUGGGAAGCCAAGGAGAGGCUUCAACUCCAUGAGAAAGAGAUGAUGGGAACUAUGGAUUGCAUGACUACAUCGCUUCCUGUAAGCAUUCUCAUUCACACAAGGGUUAGACAAACAUUCGCCGGUUCAAGAAUUUAGCAAUUUGUCUUAAUUUUUUGUUGUCCACACAAGCAUACAAUAGCUAGUCAUGACUACAGUAGUUAAUUAUGCAACGGCAAUACACAAAUGAAUAGUUUGCAAAACUGAUCAAUAUACCUUAUUCAUUUCAUUUUGACUGCACGAUUCUUCACUAUAUUGAAAUGAUCAAUAAUCAAAUUUGUCAUGACUUCGAUUGUAAUCUCUCUCUCGAUAUAGAGUAGCAAGCAAUCUCUUAAAAAUCCAUCUUCCAUUAUGUUUUGUAGCCUAGUCCUAACCAAUUUCAUUGCAGAAAAUACACGCUCUAUAGUUGCAGUUGAAACCGGUAGAGUAAGAAUAAGGCUUUGGUCUAAUUUCAUCGGAAAAUCCUAUGAUACUAUGAGACAAGAAAUAAAAUUGAAAAUAAUGUAGAGGAUAUACUGAUAUGGCUUAGGAAAAUAGGGCUGGCUUACAUUGGUUUGAGUCGGUUGUGAUAUUGCCCUUCAUUGCAGCCACGCCGCCACGGCCACCGGCUUGUCCGUCGUCGAUGGCGCAAUAAUGGUAGUGCAAGAUUCCAGCAGUCCGCAGACCGCAGGCGGCGGGCGACAGGGCAUCGGGCGAGGUUUUAGCGGCGUUGGCGCGUCGCGAGAUUGGAAUGAAACGUCGCGUGAUUAGGUACGUGAACAUGCACCUGACCACGUGCGUUGUUUGGGCUCUGGGCAACAGUUGCCAGAAUGCCAAUUGGGCUUGACCCUGCGACCUUUAACUUGCUAAGUGCUGAUAUAGUCUAUGGGCUGACAAUUGACAAGAGGUAAUAGAAAUUUUUCUUUCUUUGUUCGGGGAGGCCAUGCCCCGCCCCCCUCCCCCCGUUCCACCACUGAUUGUAGAGCACCCUUUUCCUUUUAUUCCUAGCUGGAAAGCACAUUAUUUUCAAAUUUUUCCUUGUUUGCCUGAAUCUGUGAACCUCAAAAAGCAAUAUUUUUUGAAUAAAUUGAAAGCAAUAUGACAACACAAAUUAACAUGCCAGAGCGAGAAACUUUGCAAUGCGAAAAACCAAGGUGUCCAUCACCUUGAUUGUACUCGCCGAGCCAACACGGAACUGUGAGCUUUGUUAAGGUAACUUCCUCCAAUAUGUAGUUCAUUAUGUAACUUUGGGAUAAAGUUACAUGUCUCGAGCGCUUACGAAACAACCCUGUUAAUAUAGUUGUGAAAAUGAAAAUCACGUGUCUAGACUUGAGGGGAGAAGUGUACAGCGGCAUAAGCAUGGACUGCAUGGUCCCUGGAGCCAGCAGUGUCGUUCGUUCUUGAGGGUUUUGGCCGCGUCCUCGCGCCCGUGCAUAAGCAGUGGCAUUUCCACCGCGCCGUGCCGUGACCAUGGGAUUCCAAUGGUGACGGCGCCGUGCGCUAGCCGGGCAGUGCCGAACGUAGCCUCCAAACUCAGAGCGUGAAACAGCCGCUCCUCGUCUUGGCGUCAAACUGUCCACGGCAGGACGUACAGGUGUAAGUGUACGAGUUCAGUAUCAGUCACCUUGAAGCAAGGCGAAUAGGCCUCUGCUUCUGCGCCGCAAAUGGCGGCGUGGGUGGCCUCAGCGUUCCAGGACAAGAGACACGGCGUGGCCUGCCUGGGAGAAUGGAGGGUGUGGGCGCUUGGCCUGCUCUUGCCCGGCAUCCGGCAAGAGUACAGGAGCACGAUGCGGGCGGCACCUUGCCGGCGCGCGCCAGUGUACAGCACGGCGUUGGUCAGAUUCAGCGGCACCUCGACCGCCCGAUGCAUGGGAACGCUCGUUCUCAAUCUCUGCGGUGAGCAUCACACCCUCCAAUGUCGGGCGUUGGCGACGAGCGCGGGCGGGAGCGCCUCUACGCGUUCUUGGUGGAAUUAGUGUUGUUUUGACGCCGUCCGACGUCGGCCGCGAUGACAAGGCGGGACACGGCCGAGCACGUCGGCGAGCGCAUCCGAGAUCGUGUGCAGCAGAACGCCCGAAGAAAUUGUCGAGAAGCUAGCGGCGAAGGCCACAAAGGCGUGCUUUGUCGCCGACAAGCCUGGUGGGAUCGCCAUUGAGGCGAGCGCGCUGGGGAACCGAGACCCCAAAUGAAAUACCGUCCACCCCCGGUCCCUCAUGACCGUCGGAUCCGACUCGAGCGGGUGAGAUCGGCUACCAAAAAGAACAGGAGUCUCGUUCCCCAACUCGCUCGCUCGUCGAAGCCCGUGCAGGCCGCCUGUGUCGCCAGCUCGCCGAACGCCGCCUCAUGGCGAUCUCCGCGACUCGGGCGGCGCUCGUUCCGUCUUGCCGCGGCGCCAGGUCUGCGUUGGGGCAGUUCCAUCGUUUCCACGCCGCGCACGCAUCGAACAUGCACGAGACGCUUCCGCCGGGCAUCGGGGAGUGGGAGGCGUGGUUGUCGCCGACAAGCCCGGUGAGGUCGCCAAUGAGGAGAACUCCCGAGACGGCGACACCCCAGGGGUGGACGGUAAAAGAAAUACCAUCCACCCUUGGGUUCCUCUGGACCGUCGGAUCGGACUCGACCGGGUGGGAUCGGCUAUCACAAAGAACAGGAGCCCCGUUCCCAACUCGUUCGCUCGUCGAAGCCCGCACAGGUCGCCUGUCGCCGCGCACCGCCUCAUGGCGAAUUAGCGAUCUCCGCAACUCGGGCGGCGCUCGUUCCGUCUUGCGGCGGCACCAGGUCCGCGUUGGGGCAGUUCCAUCGUUUCCACGCCGUGCACUCCUGGAACACGCACGAGGCGCUUCCGCGGGCAUCGGGCAGCGGGAGUCCGGGACGCAACUCUUGCGCGCCGCCGCGCCUGAGCAGCAGCGGUGGGUCCAGCGCGUCCGCACGGAUGCACGAUAUGAUCGCAGACACGAUCACGAGUAGGUGACCACUUUGCGCGGGAACACCGUCCAGGCGUCCGUGGCGAGCAGGUCCAUGACCAAGCGCUGCACCUCGCCGUCGGCGCCGAACCGCGCCAUCCCGACGGCGUCCACCUCGCAGACGAACACUACUGUUUGCGCCGUCUCCAUGGAGAUCCGGAGCACGUCGUGAACCAGUCUGGGGCCGGGCCUCGCGCUGAGGUGCUUGUUCUCGAGCUCCACGCCGUUGACGCGGAUGGAUACCGCCCAGGUGCCGUGGGCGGCUGACCUGGCCCAUGGCCGUCUUAUCGGGCCGGAGGAGCCAUAAAGAGGUACACGAGGCCAAGCCGGCGGCAGCGCGAGUGGAGGGACUGGGUGAUCCUGGGAUCCGGGCCGGCGGUGCUGAUCGCGGAGCGCGCCAUCUCCAACGACUGUCGACUACGUCGACUUCCUCCGGUUCCGUGCCGCGUGCAGGACGUGGCGCGAGUGCGCCGGCGCCACCCCGCUCCCACGCAGAGCCCUGGAAUGGCGGUUCCUCCCCCAGCGAUGGAUCAUGCUCCCGCGCCGCAGCACCUCCGACAACGACGACGCCCACGACAGCCGGCGGUGCUUCCGCGACGUCGCUACUGACCGGUGCUUUUCUCCGUCACUGCUACGUCUUCGACCGCACCACCAAGGGCCUCCUCGUCCUCAACCCGCUGACCGGACCUCACGACGGCGUGGUUGCCAUCGACGAUGGCGACGCGCCGGCGCCAGCCAACAGGCGGGCGGCGGAUCACCCAGGGGUGGAUGGUAAAUCAUAUACCGUCCGGGACUCCGGGGUAGACGGUAAAUGAAAUACCGUCCACCCCUAGAUUCCAUAUUAACCGUUGGAUCGAGCUUGGCCGGCGGAGAUCGACGAGCGUAAUCGCAAAAAGGGCCCCCUUCCCACUUUUCCUUUCUCGUCCAAGUCCGCGCGGCCUCGCGGGUCGCCACGCACCGGUCGGCCGUCGGCGGUCGCCGCACGUCGCCCCCAUGCCGGCCGCCUCAGAUCAAGCCGCGGCUAUCUCGCCGGUUCCUCCCGUGUCGUGCCGUGUCGACAUGUCCUCCAGCUUGAUGUCGCACGGCCGCACGCCUGGAACGCGAGCCGCUAGUUUCUGCCGCGCAUGCCGGCCCGGCAGCCGGGAACGCGUCGCACACUAUCGUGGGCCACUCGCACAUGAUGCCAUCAUUCAUCAACUCAUCAUGUGGCGCUCGGCCUCUCGGCGUCCCCGACGACGGAGCACGGCGGUGAGAUCUGCCAGCUGGGGCCCGAAUGGGAACGAGACCAAAAAUCUUCUUCCUGGUGUCACAGUCCUUUGCAUUUCUGUUGCUCCGCCAUUUUUUAACAUGCCUAGAUUUCUAACAAAAAUCUAAUCUGCAAGGGAUCCCUGUCAGCAAAUCGCAAAGGAAGGAUCAUCAAGGUCGGCGACCCGGUUUAUGUUUUGCAGUCAUUCCCUUCUCCUGAUGAAGCUCCAGCCUGAGUCCAUUACGGAGUACGUAACAAUUGCUUCCUGUUGUUGUCAUACUGUGUGUGCAAGGGACUACCAGCUAGAUGGAUAAUUAUUGCUAGCAAUAGCAACAACUACGUAUAUUUCAAUUCAAACAGAGUUUAAACAUUCAAAAAUUUCAAAAAUUGUGUUGUGCGUGUGGUUGUCCGUCCAAAGUUCAUACAUUCAGAAAUUUAGAAAACUGUGUUGUGUACUUGUGUGCAUGCAACGAACCCAGAUGCCAGAUCUUCAAACCUUUCAUGGCAUCCGAAGAAAAUUAUUGGACUCUGAAAUUAUCAAAAAUGAAAAGAGAGAACAGAAGUCACUGCCCUUGCUUUGCAAAUCGCCUGGUGCUCGCGGCGUGGAGGUCCAUGACUCCAUGGCCAUCGCCGCCGCGAUCACCUCCUCAACAUCCAUCUCUCUCCCGUCUUCAACAUUCUUCUUCAUAUCAUCAGUUGAUUAUCGGAGUAUCAUCGGGGCGGAGAUACGAGUGCUAUGGUAGGCGGAGAUACGACAUGCGCUCCAGUAUUUUACAUAAACAGAUCGCGAUUAAACCUCCUAACCUGGAUUGCCAUCAAUAAUCGCGAUCCAAAUAUUUACGUAAAAGACCCUAUUAUAUUUUCAAAAUAGUCCCUAUUUUCGUUUUGCCCCUGCUAUCCUCUCCCUCGUGGCUCCGGCGAGGUGGCGACGGCGAUGGCCGCCGCUACUAGCUUUCCCCUUCCGGCUUUCCUGCCGGAUCUCCGCUGUCGCGACCCCCGCUCUCGAGAAGCUGCCCGGCGGUGUUUUGGCAUGGCGAUGCUGCCCGGCGGUGUUUUGGCAUGGCGAUGCUGCCCGGCGGCCGGUGAGGGUAACCGGCGCGGCUCAUGUUCCAUGAGUACUGAGUGUGAGGCUUCAGGACUCAGACGAACUGCCGUCCCUCCUCGCCGCGGCAGCCUGCGCGCCGUGGGCCUCCUCGUCGUCCUCUUCUUCUUCACAUCAUAACUUUGAGGUAUCAGGAUAUUACUGUAGUUGUGAGUCCGAUGAGGCACAUAAGUAUACUUCAGAGUUCAGAAAUUUUUAUGCGCUUGUAUUUGCUAAAUGGCUUAUUUUAGGAAAUUCAGUGUCGCAACAUGCUUGUUGUGUCAUCAGAUAUUUUACUGAAUCAUUACUCUGUAUGAUGUCCUAAUUGUCUAUAUUUUCUUUUUCUUCUUUGCAUAGUAAAAUCAGCAACACGACUAUGUCCUACGGUGUGGCUUCAGUUUUUUCCCCCCUACAUGAUUAGAUCAUCUGUUGAGCUAUGUGAUAACUGAUGAUAGUUAGUUGAGUUAGUAUUGUUCUUAAGAGAUAAUCUUCAAUAAAAUUGUCAUAUAAUUCGUGCCAUCUAUAAUUUCCAGGAACAUAGAACCAGUAAAUUCAGUACUGCGAUGAGCACCAUUUUAUUCACUUUGUCCUGGAUGAUUCAGGUGCCUACAAUCAAUCAAGACACUGGAAUACCUAGCUCUACUGAACCAACUGGAACUCUGCAGAGAUAUCGGUCCGGUGAAGUGCUGCUUUCAAGCCAAAAAAUAAACGGCAGGUGAUUGUGGCUCGCAUCUUAUCCGCAGCAUUUGCUAGUCCAACGUGCUCAUGAAAUAGAUUCAUAAUGGCCUAAAUUGUUGAAAAUCCAUGCUUUCUUAUCGAUUUUGUAGGUGUACUUGGGACAAAAUGCAGUCUGCAAGGAAUCUCUGUCAGUAAAUGGUGAAGGAAGGAUCAUAAAGGUUGGCGAUCCAGUUUAUGCCAUGCGGUCAUUCCAUUCGUCUGAUGAAGUGCCAGCCUGAGUGACUGAACUAUGAUCAGGAGUGCCUAACAGCCACUUCUGUGUUGCAUGUGCAUAAUCCAACACGGAUCAUAGUGAUGUACAUGUGUGUGAUUCGUAAUCGAAGCCUGUCUGACAAAAGUUCAGACAUGUUGUUUGCCCAAAGAAAAUUCAGAUACUCUGCUGAAUCCUUUUAUGGAGUUAGCAAUUCACUAUGAGUCUAUGACUGUUCCAAUGGCGUCUUCCUAGCUAGCCAAUGUGAUAAGGAAGGUAGUAGUCAGUUCCUAGCUAAACCUCCCCCUCCUUUUGCUGUAAGGUCGCACUCAUCUUGAGAAGCUGAUAUCAGUGCUUCCCAUGAACCUUGAAAUAGUGAAAGAAGAGGAGAGAAAUCACUGUGCUGGUGAUUGGUUAGGUGGCCAGAUUUCAAGCCAGGGUUGGCUGAAACCAGGUCAGCUCGAUCAUGUCUUAACCAAUGCAACACUCUCGUUCGGUUGACUUGCAUUACCUAAGCCUGCAUACGGUUUCUCUUGUUUGGUUACCUUGCUUGACUUGAGUGUGUUUACCUUGCCCUUGUUGCGUUGAGUAGCUCCAUCACCCUCCCGUAUUGGGAGCUGCUGCACUGCUCAUUGCUCAAACUGAACUGGCAGAAGCCUUCAAUCUUCAGACAAUAUUCAGACAUACAUGAAAGGCAAUUGCUUUUGCAUCUGUAAACCAAUUGAGACACACUAGAAGCUUCACUGCACACCGAAAAUACCAAUCUAAAAAAGAAGAUCAAAAUAGAACUUCACUGCAGCCGGGUGUUUUGAUUGCAAUUGCAGUGUCACCGUCUUGUAUCCAGGCCGAGGUCAUGUAUCCGCCACUAUCACAGGCUCAGAUCGUGCUGGGAGAUCUUGAGAUUUCCCGUCGAUUCUCCACGAAUCAAUUUCCGUGUUCUUGCCAUUGAACUCGAUGGCACGGCCGCCUACGCGCACCGCAGCGCCGGCAACUUACGCUCAGCUCCGCCUCCUUACCAGCUGCUGGUGCCGCGUCGUGGACGACGCUGCGUCUUUUCCUCUCCACACCGCCAAGUCAUCAGUUAUGUGCGGCGGGUUUCGGGAUGGAGGAACGGGGGCGAGCUAGCCGGGAGGCACGGGAGCUGGCUGGUUCGGCCAUGGCGAGAUCGCGCCGCCGUGGCUGAUGCUCAGCGAGUCGGAGGCCGGAGCUCACAUUUUAGAGAAAAUCUUGUGUUAGUAAUACGACGCCCCCAGUAUUUGCAUUAAACCUUUGGAUCGCAAUUAAUAGUCGCGAUCCAAAUCGGGAGUAUAUGUAAAAUUUGAUCCGAACAUUUUUCACGACACCCCCGAAUUUGGAUCGCGAUUGAUAUUCGCGAUCCAAUUUAUGCGGGUAUUUGUAAAGCAUGAUCUAAACAUUUUUAUAAAACCCCCCUAACCGAGCUCUUUUGCGGCCAGACCCCUCCGCUCGUUCGCCCCUUCUCCGACGACGGUGACGGCCGCCUCGUCGCGCCGAGUGGCCUCCGGUUCUCCCCUACCCGAUUCCCCAUAGGAUAUCCCCCGCCGGGCCCCAUUUCUCGCGAGAUUCUCAGCGGCAGUCGGGCUUGUGCUCUUAUGGUGAUGCUGUUGCUGCCCGGCGAUGGGUGAGGGUCACCGGCACGGUGCUCGUUCCCAGUGCAUUGGCUCGAGUUCGCAAACCUUUGUCCCCGUCUUGCGCGGCGCGGACGGCGGACCUCCUCAUCCUCACCGGGCGUCACGUGUACUUGUAACAAGCAAACUUUUUUUUCCUAUAAUACGCCGGAGAGUUGCAUGUCUUUGUAUCAAGAAGAAUGAAAUAAAUUUUUUACAACGCUGGCCUAACCGGACGCACGCACACGGACAUAUUACAUGACUUGUUACAUGAUCGAAACGUACUCAACCAAAACCACAGCAACAAAAACAGCUAGAGCAGGUCAGCUAGCUUGUUGCAGCCCAACUGAAGACACCGAUGUGCCUUGCACCUGCAGCACUCCACAGUUUGGCCUCGUCGACGAUGUCACAAUAGAGCUGCGUGGGUGUCUUCUUCGCUGCUCUCUGAAAAACGCGGUCAUUUCGUUGCUUCCAGAUACGCCAAGAGACCAACAUGAAAACGGAGUCGAGUCCGCUUCUUCUGUCAGCACUGAUCGACUCCCUUUUGUGCAAUCACCAGUCUGAUAACGUUUGGUUUUGUGAAGGCACAACAUUCUGGAGGUUCAGGACUGAAGUUAGCUUGUGCCAAACUUCCUGAGCGAAGCAGCAUCUGGACAGGAGAUGUUCUGCUGUCUCAAUCUCUUGAUCACAAUUCACAAAGUAUGCAUUCCGCCCGAUCUUGCAGGCCAUGCCUUUGUCUCCGAGCUGCAAUCCAUAGUCUUUCCCUUAGCGCCAACCACAUGAAAAAUUUAACCUUCAGUGGCGCCCAGGCACGCCAGACAGACCUCAUUGCCGGGGCUUUCGUCGAUCCAAUGAAGAACGCCCUAUAUGCGGAUUUGGCCGAGUAUGUGCCCGUGCUUUCCCACCUCCAGGACACCCUGUCCUCGACUCCUGGCAGUAACUGAACCGUUGCCACAGCAUGCCAGAGGGAAACAUACUGCGAAAAUGGCGUGCACUGUAGCGCGUCCGACAAAAUCAGCUAUCCAGCGUUUUGCAGGGUGCGGGUGUUUCUGAUUCUCGGAGAGAUGAGCUGACAGAGGUCUGGUGCAAGGAUGCAGGGGGAGUUCUGACCAAGCCAGUUAUCAACCCAGAAUAGUGCUAGAUUGCCAUCGCCCAACUGAACUUGGAUAGAAACUUGUAGCAUUUGUUGCAGACUCCUGUCCCGGGCAAAGUCUGAAGGCAAAUAUCUCCAGGGCCUGUUGGCAUCGAUUUUCUUGAGCCACAGCCAUCUCAAACGCAGGGCAAAAGAGGCGAGACUGAGAUCUAGAAUUCCUAACACCCCCCCCCCCCCCCCAGCUCAACUGAAAACCGUGUGAGUUCAACUGAAAUAAUCUUUGCUUCGAAGAUGAUCCAUUUGGUCAGCAGCAGCCUGAAGGCUGAAGAUGAUCAAUUUUGUCAGCUACAGGUUACAGCAUGCAAUGCAACAUCAUCUGUAGUGACGCUCCGGCCAAGCUGGUAAGCUCAAUUGUUCGCUCAAACUUCAUUGUGAUUUUCAGUUUGGUUCAGAAAUUCAGUAGUAUAUGACAAUCGUCCAUAUAUGUUCUGGCUAUUGCUGUACAUAAAUCACGUAGCUAAGCUCCGCAUGAAACCUAAAAGGUAGAAAUGUGAUUGCUAUUUUACUGGCAAAUUUGCCUGGGAGCUGAACUUUCCCGAACUGUCCCGAACUGAAGAAUAUUUGCCAGAAACACAGAUAUGCUUAAGACUGAAGAGUUGUAGGCUAUAAGCCUAUAAGCAGCUGAAAAAUGACAAUACAUCUCCACAUGCGGCAUUCAAAUGCUGAGGGGGAACAUGUACGUAGCAAGACUUUUCUUGUGCGCACAAAAGAUGUCAUGGGCAAAGUUCAGAUGGCCCUGAACCCAAGCAGCGUGACCAUGCCGAUGCCCGGCGGCCGCACCACAAGGGCAGGGAUAGAGAGGGGGAAUAGGAACUCUUGAUCUAACUAAAAGAGAUACAGUCCCAUCCUUAUAUAGAUGGGCUGACUUGAAACCAAUCUCUAAAAUUAAGGAACCAAAUCAAUCUAAUCUUAUCUCUAAAUAACAAAUCUAAUCCUAGGCUGCUGUGAACAUAACCACGUGGUUACUGUUCGCGUGAACAGUAACUGCGGAUGAACGGUACACCAGCCCUUCAAUGGGUUGGGGCUUCUCCAUCUCAUGGGCCCUAAUAGGCUGCACAUGACAAAAGACGUCAGGAAUAUGCAAGCGUGUGGGCAGUGUAUCCAAGCAAACCUGAAACCUGUUAGAAAAUGUAUGUAUAUAGACAUGAAUGUCAGAGUUUAAUCCCUAAUUUUCAGCAUGUCAAAAGCCCUCCUUUUUUCUGUCAUGUCUUGCAGGUUACAUCCGUUGCUUACAUUUCCUUUUCCCAUCUUGAACAGCACAAUGAUGAGAGGGAAAGAGAACACCUAUUGGCAAGCAUGAGGCCUGUGUACCCAAAGAACAUUCAGGGAUCAGGAUGCCACUUUGACGGCUGGUGGCAGGAUUAUUGAUCGUGGCACAAAGCAAGUCUGUCUUCAGGACUCAAGUGCUGUCGAACUUGCCAUUGUCACUGCGCCACUUGGCUAAUCCUAUCUUUGAUGGUCUGUCAGAGAAGACGUACUCAAACGUUUUGAGUUCCAGCCUUCCAGGCAUAAUUUUCAGCUCGCCAAAAAUCUCUCUGCAAAUUCGGUUACCUACAUCGCCGUGGCAUUGUUUGCUCAGCAAAAUUCCGCCGCUGUGUGGCAUUCUGGCAUGGCCAGACGAACUGCCUGCAUCCAGAAAGACCUGAAAAUCUUUCAUGGAGUCCGGACAAAAUUUCAGACAUGCUGUUUGACCAAAGAAAAUUCAGAUACUCUGUUGAAUCCAUUCAGAAGAAUUAAACCUUUUAUGGAGUGUGCAAUGCACGAGAUCCAUGUACGUCAGUUUAAAAAGCAUGACAGUGACAGUUCAAUGGUGUCUCGCUAAUAUGUGAUCAGGAAGGUAGUAGCAAGUUGUAUUCUAAGAGCAUGUUUAUUUGAGCUGCAGUUUUUGAGUCUUUUUUGAAAUGCUGCUGCUGACUUUUUUUUUAAAAGCCAACACUAGCUUUUAGAAGAUGUGUAUAGCUUUCUGGGCUUAAAAAGCUACGAAAAGUUCGGAAAACUGAGCUUUUCAGCUUCCCAUAUAAACUCAGCUUUUCCGAGCUUAUGUUUUUUCGAAAGCUGCACGAGAAGUUUGCUGUUUGUUUGAGUUUCUAACUUUUCAUACUGCAAAGUUGUCAAAAAGCUCAAACAAACGGGCCUAACAAACCUGCCUCUCCUUUUGCUGUCAGGUUGCAAUCAUCUUGAGAAGCUGAUGUCAGUGCUUCCCGUGAACCUCGAAAUCUGUCUAGUGAAAGGAGAGAGAAAUCGCUGUGUUGCGCUGGAUAGCAUCUGAGCUUGCAGCGCGGAGGUUCAUCGUGGCCGGCGGCGCAGCGCCCUGCUCCUCCAACUCUUUCGUCUCCAGCCUUCUUGUUCGAGAACGCUGACCGGUUCGGCCAUGGCGAGACUAGUACGUGCAAGGACAAGAAAACGUGCCGCAGCCGGGCAAUGACCUCAUCAUCAUAUUCUCCUCUGCAGUCUUCUUCCAUUCACGGAUGCCAUUGCCAUGCCAUCAUCGCAUCGGCAACUAAAGCUAGCGAAUCCGUUUACCUAGGAUUAUUCGUUAUUAGCAGCUGCAGUCUGCAGAUCGAUGACUGCAGCGCCCAGCAAGUGCCACCCGGUGCUGCCCGCGGCGAGGGCGCCUGCGGUGCUGCUGCUGCGAGGACACGCUGGGCGUCCCGCUCCGCCGCGCGCCGGCCCACCAGCAGCUCGCCGUUCCUGACAAUAAUCCCCCGCCGCCCCGGCCUGGCCCAGCGCGGAUCGUGCUGGUGCAGCACGGCGACUCGGCGAGAGAGAGGGGAACGUGGACGAGUCCGCCUACACUCGCGUCCCAGACCCGCGCAUCGGCCUCACCGCCAAGUGCUAGCGCAACACCGAGGACUGCGGCCGCCGCAUCCGGAACCUCUUCUCCUCCUCCGAGUCCGGCGAGUCGGAGCUCACAUUUUACAGAAAUCUGGUACUGGUAAUGUAAGUACGUGACCCCAGUAUUUGCAUUAAACAUCCUAAUUUGGAUUGCGAUUAAUAGUCACGAUCCACUUAAGGGGGUGUUUGUAACACCCCCUAAACUUUAGUACCUGUCACAUCGAAUGUUUGGAUACUAAUUAGGAGUAUUAAAUAUAGUCUAAUUAUAAAACUAAUUACACAGAUGGAGUCUAAUUCGUGAGACGAAUCUAUUAAGUCUAAAUAGUUCAUGAUUUGACAAUGUUGUGCUACCGUAACCAGUUGCUAAUGAUGGAUUAAUUAGGCUUAAUAGAUUCGUCUCGCGAAUUAGUAUAGGGGUUCUGCAGUUAGUUUUUAAUUAGCUCAUGUUUAAUCCUCCUAAUUAGUGUUCGAACAUCCGAUGUGACCCUCUAAAGUUUAGUGUCUCGUAUCCAAACACCCCUAAGGGCGGUAUAAGUCAAAUAUGAUCCGAACAAUUUCAAAUAACCUCUUUGGAUCGCGAGUCGCGAUCAGGAGGGUAAAUGUAAAAUGUGAUCCGAACAUUUUUACAACCCGAUCCUGGGCUUUUGCAAAAAACAACUUUUGCGGCCGGAAUCCCUCCGCGCGUUCCUCCCCCUUCUUCUCCGGCGACGGCGACGGACGCCUCGUGGCCCCGAGCGCGAGCGGCCUCCGGUUCUCCCCUACCCAAUUCCCCAGCGGAUAUCCCCCGACGCGCCCCUCCUAGUCAAUUUUUCGUGCGAUUCCCAGCGGCAAUCUGGUGGUGAUGGGUGAGGAUCGCCGGCGCGGCGCUCCUUCCCGGUGCAUUGGUUCAAGUUCGCAGACUUUCUCCUCCAGAUCAUCCAGGUCGCCGCAUCCUUUUUCUCCGUCUUGCGCCGUUGCGAGGUGCAGACCUCGUCAUCCUCGCGCGGGCGUCACCUGUAUUCAUAGGGAACAAGCAACUCGUGUGAAUUCUACUGAAAUAAUCUUUGCUUCGAAGAUGACCAGUUUACUCAGCAACAGCUUGAAGAUGAUCCAUUUAGUCGUCAGCAGCUUCCAGCAUGCAAGAUCAUCUGUACUGACGCCCCCACCUAGAUGGUAAGCUCAAUUGUUUGCUUCAACCUCAUUGUGUUCUUCAGUUUGGUUCAGAAAUUCAGUAUUAUGAAGACCAUCAUAUUGUAUUCCGGAUAAUCCUGUAACCAAAUCAUCAGCUGGCUAAGUUCCACAAGAGAAACAUAAAAGGUAGAAAUGUGACUGCUAUUUUACUGGCUAAUUUGCAUGGGAGCUGAACUUUUGUGAAGCAGAAGAGCGGCAGGCUAUAAGCAACUGAAAAAUGUCAGAAUACGGCUCCACUCGUGAGAGCCAAACUCUGAGGGUGAACAUGUACAUAGCAAGACUUUUCUUGUGCGCACAAAAGAGAAGGCGAAUUUUGCAAGCAUGUGUGUACAGUGUAUCCAAGCAACCUGAAACCUUUUAGAAAAUGUAUAUACUCCGCAGAUAUAAUUAUCAGAAUCUCCUCCCUAUAGAAACAGCAGCUCACUUGUGUUUGCACUGCUGCUAUGCAAAAGAGGUCUGGCUGUUAGUGAGCAAUUGGACUUCCGGCAUCAUCAAAGUCCCAGAUAGGCAGGGGGAAGAGAUAGAAGAGUGGUGGAGGAGAAGCCUGGAGCGACUCUCACAAAAUCAGAAAAGAUCAACGGCAGCGCUCUUGAUGUAUACACUAUACAGCAUGAACCAUUUGGAAAGAAAGGAAUCGAAGAGUGUUCGAGGGGACGAGCCUUCAGCCUUCUCAGGUUUUCAGCUUGAUCAAAGAGGAAGUCUGAGUUUCUCAGGGCACCCCUUCUUUAGUUUAAAUGUCUCUAGAGUUUGAGUUUGAGUUUCUGUUUUAUUGUAAUCACAACAUUGUUGUAACCUGUUUCUUCUUCCUUCUUAAAUGAAUUGGCAGUGCUCCUGCCUUCUUUCAAAAAAAAAAAGAAUCUCCUCCCUAAUUUUCAGCAUGUCAAAAGCUCUCCUUUUUUUUUGUCAUGCCGUGGCCCAAAGCAAGCCUGUAAUACCACUGCGCCAUUGGGCUAUCCUAUCUUUGAUGGUCUGUCAGAGAGGAUGUACUCAAACGUUUUGAGUCCCAGGCCUAAUUUUCAGCUUGCUAGAAACCUCUCUGCAAAUUCCGGUUAACGAAACUCAUCAGUCCCAGAUUGAAACAGCCGCUCCUCGUCUUGUCGUCGAACUGCCAACGGCGUGGGGUGUACAGGUAGUACACGGGGUAGGUGGCCUCGGCGUUCCCGGGCAAGAGACACUCACGGCGUCCGACCUCGGCGAAAGGCGCGCAGUGCACUCGGACCUCUCUGGGCGACGACGACGAUGCGGCUGCAGAUGGACCUCAUCCUCGCCGCGUACACCUGGAACGAACACGAGCCGCUUCUGCCGCGGUCCGGCAGCUGGAACUCGAUCGACCACGCACACGCCGUGUCCUCGCGGCUCGUUGCCAUGACCCCGCGCACGCAACUUGCCCGGCGCGUCGCCGUCGAACCUCGGUCCAUCUCGGCAUCUCCACCAGCACGAGUGUUAAACCACAGGCUUGGAAGAACGGAGGUGUGUAGGCGUGUUAAACCACAGGCUUGGAGAACGGAGGGCGUGGGCGCCAGCUUGACCUGCUGCGGCAAGAAUAAAGGAGCACGACGCGGGCGGCGCGGCGCCUUGCCGACGCGCGCGCCAGUUCGGUGCACGGCAGCACAAUGUUGAUGCAUGACAAGGCGUGGCCUGCAGCCACGCUUGGUCCAGCGCGUCCGCACGGAUGAUUGCAGCCACGAUCACGAGUACGUCCGAUCAUAAUAUCCUGAUUCUUUGUGGAAGCUGAUUUUCUAAGAAAAGGAGCAGUAAUUCUUUAUCUGAAAAUGAUUCUCUAGUAUAAAUUUUUAGAAUAAGGAUGGAAAAUCACUUUACAGAAUCAGAAGAAGCUACUUUUUUUACUCCCAACCUCUUAAAAACCUCUUAGUUUAUUUAAGAGAAUCACUUCACAGAACCAGCAGAAAAUCAUUUUCUCUCUAAAACUAUUUGGCAAAACUCCUGCUAGAAUCGGCAGAGAAUCAACUCCGGAAGCUCUGCCAAACGCACCUAAGAGGCCAAGUUCUGAUUCAUUUGAUCCGUACAGCACAAUCAUGAUUCGACCAUCUACUACAGGCCAAGUCAUAGAAUGUAGGUACCUACGAACACAGUUUCACCGCCAAAAACGAAAAUACAGGCAGGUCGUUUCGAGGAAGCAGCGUAGCAUUGGCAUUUGGCAUCUCAGCUGUGGAAAAGAAACAAAACGCCAACACCCUGCUGUCAACAGUCAAUGUAGUGGCGACCACCUCUGCGUUAGCCCUCGGCCCAGAUUGGCGUAGAUGCGGCAGAACGGGAGGUCACGGAGAGGCUUCAGUUCCAUGAGAAAGAGAUGAUGGGGCCUAAGGAUUGCAUGACUGAUAAUCAUCGAGGAUUAUGACCUCCAUCGGUUCCAGAAGUCAUUCACACAAGUACACAACAGACAUGCAGACUGUAGAGCAACCUUUUCCUUCUGUUCCUAGCUGCAAAUCACAUUAUUUUGUAAAUUUCCUUGUUUGCCUGAAGCCCUGCCUGAACCUGAAGGAAUAAUAUGACAACAUAAAUUAGCAUGCCACCAAGAAACUUUGCAAUGCGAAAAACCAAGGUGUUCAUCACCUUGAUUGUACCGAAUCAGCACGGAAGCGGAACUGUUAGCUUGAUUAGUACCUUCUUAAUACUGAGCACUUGAAAAGUGGACUCCCAUCUGAAAAACAGCCUCCUCUGUGGAAGCGUAAAGCUGUACAUUUCAGGCAUGGUACAUUUGCAUGGUUAGCCCUUCAUUUUAGUCUAGAAAUCAACUGACUUUGCUUGAUUGUAGAGGUUUCUGAAGUAAUCCUCCUGUUCCCAAGUACUCUUCAGCAAAAAGUUCGUCGUUUUUUGCAAGCAUGUCUGUCAGACUACAGUCUAUGUUUCUACUCUGCAGUACCCAAAACCGUGGCUUUAUCCUCCCUUCAAGUGAAUAACUGAAGUACCUUGGAUAUUCUACAACUGCUUUAAGUGGCUUUUUCAUGAUUCUUAACAGAAACUCAAGCUUUGGUUUCAUAACAAGCUCGAUACUGUAACCUAGAAGUGGGGAAAAUCUAAAGAUCAUUGAGCGCACGUCUUUCUUAGACAAACCCGCCUCCAAUAGGUAGUUCAUUCUGUAAACGUUGAAAUUAAAGUUACAUGUAUCAAGCACUUACAAAAAAGAUCUUGUUAACAUACUUGACAAACGAAAAUCACAAGGUUAAACUUUAGAAAAAACAUACGGCAGUGGUUGAAUCAGAAAUAAGUACUAGGAGUUGUACAAGUGGAUUAUGCUACCGACCAAAAUGAAUAACUAGCAUCCAAGAUUGCAAAAAGUAUCACUAAAAGGCACAACCAUCCACGUAGGGAAACAACAUUAGCAAUAAUGAUACCAAAAGCUUGCAGCUUGCAGAAAACUCUAGACCAUGGCACAAUUAAGAGGUACACUAAGUUUGCAAUAUAAAAUGUCUAUCUGGGCUGCAUUUUCUAUCACACAAAGUUGCAGUCAUACCUGGGGAGCAGUGUAUCAUUUAUGUCCAACAAUAAAAUCUCAGGAUACUUCCUAAUGAUGCGAGGAAGAUGAUGUUUGGAAACACCAAAGUCAAUAAGAAAGUCAAUUUUCUUCUUGAGGGUACUUUCCACAUUUGAAGCAAAUAUUUCAGGAGAACGACACAAAAUCUUUCCUACUGUUUCCUUAUCAAAACCCAUUUCCCUGAAAAAGAAAACAAUCUGAAACACAAGGCAGAACAGUUAGUACUAAGAUAACAAUUAUCAGAAGAUGGGGGCAUCAAAGAUGUAUAAGAGCAACCACUCAAGAGUCAAGACUCAAGACACAAAACCAUCCCCAACUUUGGAUACAAAUGUGCCUACUGUGGAUACAGUUACAAACAUUGGAUGUUGAGUUAUUGUCCACCGCUUUCAUGACCCAUAAAUCUUCAUCCUAUCCAUUGUGGCUAAUUGGAAAAAUAUGUGAAUUUGUAAAACCUGAUGUACCAUCAUUACAGCCAUCAUCCAUGUCAACUUAAAGGACAUGUGAUGGUGGUCAAACAAAGUAUUCAUUUUACUGAAGCUUUGGUUCCAGUUUGCUAAGAAAAUUAUAAGCAAGCAAAAGAAAGUUUUUCCUUUACCAAACGGAGUAUAAAUAUGUAAACGAAAUUAUAUUAAUGAUUACACACCUGCAGAAACUCGUUAGGUUUUCUCAGCAACAAUUGCGGACUUGAUGUAAUGACUGGAGCCACCAUUUUCUUAGUGAUGCCCAGAUCAUCAAACUGCUCCAGAAUUAAAUUCAUUCUUUGUGUAGAGCAGCCAAGAAUAUGAGGCCAACUUUUCACAGCAAUACCAAGGACUGUACUGGAAAUCUGAAAGCAAAACAAUUGACUUACUACUCCUGGCAACAAGAAACAGAAGGCAGAACAGGGUAAAUAAAUGAAAAAGAAAUUAAAACAUAAAUAGUGAGAAAAUUCUUUUUUUCAGUUACCUUUUUUCGCUUUAAGAACAAAAGGAUCCGUUUGUAGUUCUCUAUCACACUUGUUGAAAGGAUCCAUGGAUACUUCAGCAACAUCCUACCAAUAUGUUCUUGUUCAAUGCCAGCCUAGUAAAUUUAGAAAUGGAUAAUAGUAUUAUUGUAUUAUAUUCAAGUGAGCACCAAUCUAGCAGAUACCAAUGGACACCACGAACAUAAAUACCUUCUCCCAUUCAUGAAUCCUCGGCUUGAUAUCAUUUUCAAUGUCAGAAAGAAUGAUAGGAGGAAAUGACAGCAAAACUGAUGCAAUCCUUGGGUUUGGAAUUCCAAUGUACUCAAGAAAAUCAAUUAAUGGCUUUAGAUGAUUAUCCUCAGAGCAGAGAAGCAGCAUGGGAAACGACUCAAUGAGGUAAGGAAAUGACACAUCUCCAUGUCCCAACAUGCUAACACCACCAUACCUGGCCUCCAUCUGCAAUAAUAGGGUUCAAGAAAACAUUAAUUUCUGCUGAUACUCAGUGCAAUGAAACUGAACAAUAAGCAAUAGUCAGGACUAUGAAACUUACUUUUUCAAAAAAUGAUAAAGUACUUUGGAGUGCAUCGUCUGCAGGUAUUGAUAAGUGUGUCAUCAUGCGCUUAGAAUUCCUUCCAAUAAUUGUUGCAUAAUCACUGCUUGAAAAUAACAUUUCCUUCAAAAACUUAACCUAUAUGUGAAUAAACCAUAAGAAAUGAGUGCAGUGAUCUAGUGAACAUAUUAUAGUGCCAAGGACAACUGCAACUAUUGAAGUAACAUAUUGACCAAUGAUCACUAUGAUCCAAUCUAUUUGUUACCCUUGGGAUAUAAUGUAUAAUGUCACCAUGGACUAGUGUUACUGAAAACUUGGUGCCUGAAUUCUAAAUUUCUAAUGUUAAGGAUUCCAUUAAAAUGUCUUCCUGCCAUGCUAUGGAAAAUGGAAGUACUAUUGAGAUUCGUGGUGUGAAUGAGAAUAGGAGCAAGACUCACAUAACGUCUUUAAAAAAAAAAAGAAGAAGACUCAUAUACUUGAACACAUGCUUUGUGCAGGACUACAAGCUUGCAACUGAGAACAAUACCAACUUUUUUGCAGGUAAAAUAUCAGUUUGAGUGCUCCAUGUUUAAGUUUAAUACUAGCUCGAUUGAACUUUGUUCAAGUUCAGCCAAACACACCCGAUAAGAGGUCAUGGAUUAGGUUGGACUCGUAGAAAAAAAUAUGAAGUAACCCUGCAGUUAGCAGUUUCUACAGGUUUCACCAAAUUUCACUGCCAAUUGCAACAUGUACGAAGUAUUCUUUCAACACGGACCAAACUCGCGGAAAUGCAAGCAAAUUGAGCCCAAAUUGGAGUUAACUCUCACCCGAUCAAUCAGCACAGGGAGGCCAGCGGCCGCGACGUACGGCGCGAUGAGCUUGGCGGAAGAGAGCCGCACCCCGAAGCUCUCUAGGAGCGGCACCACGCCGUGGUCGUGCUUGCUCCGCCCCAUGAGGUACACCUUCCUCCGGAACCCGAGCCUCCCCAUCUCCAUCUCGACGGCCCCGCUGCGGCCCACCCUGGCCCCGGCGCCGGAGCUCCACGACGCCCAGAGGCCGAGCUCGUCCAGCUCCCGGACUCCGUCGGCGAGCAUGGUGGCGUAGGCCGGCGCGCGCGCGGCGAUGGCGGUGGCGUCGGCCGGGGAGGCGCCGCUCUCGCGUAGGAGCUCCGCGACGGCUGCCUCCGCCUCGCGGGCGUCGUAGGCGGGCGAUGCGGAGGCGGACGUGGACGAGGAUGUUGUCGCGGGGAAGGCGGCGAUGGGCCCGCAGCGGCGGCGGCGCGGGAGGAGGAAGAGGAGUGGGAGAGGGUGAGGAUGCGUUUUGGGGUGGAAUUGGGUGGGAAGCGGGAGAGCGCGCAGUGGUGGGGUUGCAGGUUUGGAGAGGAGAAGAUGGAGAAGCGGGAGAGUGGCGGUGGCGGUGGCCAUGGCCACGGCGGAGGCCGGAGGGGGACGAGUGGGAGGGAAGAAGGGGUGAAGUGUGAAUCCCCCGCGCGCUUGUAACGUUCCCGCGUGCAUUAUCCAUGGAUGAGAAAAACUUCGGGAAGAAAUCAAUUUUCUGCCACAAAAUUUCACAGUUAUUUCCGAUUACUGGGUUUUCCUCAUCAAAAUUUGCCUACUUUCACCGAAUUUAGUUAGUUUUGGUUUGGUUCUAAUACUUUCAAAGAGUCCUAUUUUGAGACUUUCUAGUUUGUUUUCUUCCCAUUCCUGUGAAACAGUUAUUGAUUUUAUUUUUUUAGUUUUGCUAAUUGGGUUCUGCGGAAUAAAUUGGUAACCAGAACUCCAGAAGAAUGCUCCUAGGUCCUGUUUGGAAUGACGUACUCCUCGGGUUCUUUAUGGAUUAUUAAACCGAUGUUGUGUCAAAUGACAAGAUUCUAUAGGAGCGUAUCAAUAAAAAAUUCAUGAUGGAACUGAAUAAGAAGAAUUAAGGAAUUAUUUUUGUAAAAGUGUGCUAUUCGUAUGCCGAAACAGAUCCGAAAAUGCUACGAGCCCUUUUUUUUUACCCUUGACUUUUAGUUUGUCUAUCUUUGAUCUCCAACUCUAACAUUAUACUCCAACUUCCAUUAUAGCUAGCGUAGUUUUGACCCUUGAGCCCAUCCAAAGCAAUUCAAGGUUGACGUGGCAGCGACUUUUUAAUCUGGGUGGGAGAAAAUAUUUGAAUGAGGAAGGAAAGUUACUCGAUCACUUCCAAAAAACUUUGAAAUAGACAUUGGACAAAAAUAAUUGCAGCUCAUGAAACAAGUUCUAUAAUCUAUAACAUUCAAAUGAAAGACUCAAUAAAUCUUAGAAAAUGUAUUUGAGUAUUUAUUGAAUCUUUUAUUUGAAUAGCAUAGAGCUUGUUUCACAAACUCUACUUAUUGUUGUGGGGUUCCUUAUGUCCAAAUUAUCUUUAGGAUUCUUUUCUGAAUUUUUGAGAGGUGUUUGUUUUCCUCAUCUAAACAUUUUGUCUUCAUCAAAGUUAAAAAAAUUGCAAUCACGUCUAAUCUGCUUUGUCUGGCCUUAGGGGCAAAUGAGACUAUUCAAAGUAGAUCGUAUCAAACUAGAUUGUAUUUUGAGUAUAAAAACUAGAUAAACUAAACAGUUGAGGGUCAAAUAUGAACUUAGUUUUAUUUGAUUUUUUGACAGUUCAUGCGCUAAAAGGAGUAUCACGGUGGAGUGUCUUUUGUCCCUACUGACUGCACACUCCACACUAUUUAUCCUUUUUUUUUGUCCAAACACCAAAGAUACACUACAUAUAUGCAUGCUCGCGUUAUGAACAUACGCACACAUACACAAUCUACCCCUAUGUUUGUUAUCGAUGGGCAUUCGCCGACUAUUUAAAUAAAAAAAAAUAUGAGCACAUGAUGAGUUGAUGACUCGAAUCUGUGCUGCACAAGUUCCACCACAAUAAAUCCAAUCAACUGAGCUAAGUUUAAUUCACUCAGAUCAUUUAUGCCUCCCACAGUCCCACUAUCUUUUUUUACCACCAUGUGCAUUUGCAAAAUGACCAAAACCAGUUUUAUAACAAUCCAUAAGCUAGAUGCCAUAACUUAAGAAUUUCUAGUUGAUCCAAACAUAUAGACAAACACAUAUAGCGCAUGCGUAAUGCAUGCAUUUUCCUAUAGAAGAGCUAGUGAUCUAAAGUCCAAAUCACCACGAUCUAAUCUGAGGGGCUGUUUGGCUAUCGGGUGUUAAAAUUUAACACCCGUCACAUCGGAUGUUUGGAUGCUAAUUAGGAGUAUUAAAUAUAGACUAAUUACAAAAUUAAUUGCAUAGAUGGAGUGUAAUUUGCGAGACGAAUCUAUUAAGCCUAAUUAAUCCAUGAUUUGACAAUGUGGUGCUACAGUAACCAUUUGCUAAUGAUGGAUUAAUUAGGCUUAAUAGAUUCGUCUCGCGAAUUAGCACAGGGUUCUGCAAUUAGUUUAUAAUUAGCUCAUGUUUAGUUCUCCUAAUUAGCAUCCGAACAUCCGAUGUGACACUGUUAAAGUUUAGCACCUCGUAUCCAAACACCCCC
Molecule: long non-coding RNA, 62700 nt
Filed under: Setaria italica (foxtail millet)
Lineage: Eukaryota; Viridiplantae; Streptophyta; Magnoliopsida; Poales; Poaceae
Description: long non-coding RNA (SITA_LNC001533)
Rfam family: tRNA (bases 14968-15040)
Source: RNAcentral